CCAUCUGUCACAGGGAUAUCAAAUCUAGUAACAUAUUGUUGGAUGAAAACCUCCGGGCAGUAGUUUCUGACUUUGGACUUUCAAGGUCAAUACCCCUUGACAAAACUCACUUAACUGCGUUGGUACAAGGGACAUUUGGUUACUUGGAUCCGGAUUAUUUUCAUUCAGGUCAAUUUACAGAUAAAAGUGAUGUGUAUGCCUUCGGUGUAGUCCUUGCUGAACUUCUGACAGGAGAACAAGCCAUUUCCUCGGAUAGAUCUGAACAAGGUCUAGCUAAUCAUUUUAGAUCAGCAAUGAAACAAAAUCGUCUGUUUGAAAUUCUUGAUAACCAAGUUGUAAAUGAAGGACAGAAGGAGGAGAUUUUCGCCGUUGCUAAGCUUGCUAAGAGAUGCCUAAAGUUGAAUGGGAAAAAAAGGCCAACCAUGAAACAAAUUGAUAUAGACCUCCAACAAUUGGGCACAUUUCAGGAGCAGUUGUCUUUUCAGAAGACAUGGAUUCAAGAACCUUCCUUGCAGCAGCAAACAUGCCAGGACUACUGCACGGUAAGUGAAACAUCCCAUUCCUACACAUUUUGUCCAGUUACAGAAGAAAUAGUUCAUGACGAUGAGGACUUGCUUUCCUAAGGAAUACAGUAUGGUAGCUUGAAGUUUCGGUUAAAUAACGGGAUGUUUAUUUAUGCUAUUGACUUCUGGAAUAAUGAUGUAAUGAAUGACUCCGAACCUUGUUUUACUUUGUUUAAUUUGUUUCAAGUAUGGUAUACAUAUUAUUAGGGUCCAACCGGGGUUGAGGCUGGCUGACAGUCAAUCAAGGUCAACCUCUAUAUACACAUGAAGUUCAUUUGCCAAACCCAACAAUUCAAUCUAAGCUGCCUAAACUAUUUUCAUCAACCGCCUAUGACUUAAGAAAUAAUAAACCAAUGCUAACAUUCAUUGAACUAGUAAUGAAUCCAGAACUUGUGCAAUAUCACUCUCGCAAUAUGUAAAUUUAGAACAUUUAUUUCUCAAUUAAUCUAAACAGUGGGAUGGCCUUGACUAAAAUAAAGAUAAAGACCAUUACAUAUGAUUUUAGGACACUUCUAAGUAAUUUAAUUCUAUGUCAACCAUCACAUGUAAUUAAAAAUAAGACUUCUUACUUUUCCUACAUGUUUUAAGAAGACAUUUACGUUCAUAUAUUCGUAAUUGAGCGGCUCCACCUAGCUGAAAAUGUGGAAAAGAUAGGAUGGUUGAAAACUAUGAUCUAAGGAAAAACCCAUUAUUAAUAAUUUUGGCAUUUUAAAAUAUCAUAUAUUAUUGCUCUAAACAGAAAACUUAUUAAAAAAUUAAUAUAAAUUUUUUUAAAGAAAAUUUUCUUAGAUUUUAAUAUAAAUUUGACAGCACAUAUUAAUAAAAUUUUACCAUCAAAUAUUAUUGCAACUAAAAAAAAUUACAAAUUUUAGGGAUUCAACUUGACCGAAUGCAUAGGUGAGGAGAACAUCAUCUCCAUCACUUACCAAAAGCUGUGAACUUUAAACAAUAUAUUAAUUUGUUGUAUAUAACAUUGAAUGUGCUAGGGGAGCCAAAUCUCAUUAUAUUCCAAAGAUAAUUCUAAAACUAAUUUUUAUAAUCUUGCAAAAUAGGAUGAUAUCAACGCCUAAUUAGCAUUUUCCAAAGAAGGACCCACUGAAGAAAAGGGUUUGUACUUAACUCCAGCCAAUUUGAAAUGAACCCCUUACAGAGAGUGUGCCACACGUUCUUUAACUAUUUAUACUCGAUUGUUUUAGAGUUUAAAGAGAUUAGUGAUUGGAGAGAGAUUUUAGCAAGAAAUUAUUGAGAAAAAGACAUUAAAGACUCCUUUGAUUUAUUUUUCUUCUCUAUACAAUCAAUUUAAUCAUUGGUUAUUGGAUACUAGAGAUUCUUGGCAUACUUUCUCGUUACCUAUCCUAUGAGAAACCUAUAGAAGUAGUAAAGACUAAAAGCUAAGACUUGAACCUAAGUUAAUUUUCCUUCAUUGUAUUGUAGUUUGAAAUCAAAAUUGAAAGGGAAACUAGGUUUUAGAUGCAACUUUAAGUCAUAAACUCAAAUUAAUUUUGAUUAAUCAAAUAUUUUGAAACCUUAAGAUCAAUUCAACUUGAAUACCCUUUUUUGCUCCAAAGUUCGAUUGUGAAGCCUAUAGACUUGAAUCAAUUGACUUAGAAAUUAACAAUUGUUAAGCUAGUUCAUUAGGUUUAAUUUAGUUAUCUCAAAUUCACUCAAAUCAAUUUGAUCAAUAUUUUCACUUAGAGAAUAAGAAACAAUUAUUUUAGCUUAGUUUGAGGAAUUUUUGUAGGCUAGCUUAUAACAUAUCUACCUUGAAUUUAAGAGAGAGAGAGAGAGAGAGAAGAUAAGUGAGCUAGAUAUUUUUGGUUUAUAACCACACAAUAUCUUUAUCUUGCUCUAGUUUUUUCACAUUGCCAAAAAUUAAAGGGGGGGAAUAAAACAUAAAGGUCUUUAAACAACUUUGAUUCAAAGAAUUUAGGUUUAGAUGUUCCCAAACCUUAAAUUAAAAGUGUUGAAGAUGACCUCAAAGGUGUUGAAAGUCUCGUAAACCCACAAUCUUCGACCUAAUAACUCAACCUCAUUCUUGGCACACUUCCAAUGGUAAGGAAAGAAGAGUUGAGCUUGUGACUCUUUCUUUUUGGAUGGUAGAAGACAAAAGUAAUGGAAACUGUAACCUUUAAGAGGGUAUUUAUAGAGUUUCCUAGCUAAUUGAGUUUAAGUCCACAUGGGAAAGGUCACUUAAUCUAAGCCCCAAUUGUGUCCUAAUUGAUUAAUUAACCCAACAAAUCUUAUUAAUUAAUCAAUUAACCUAAUCCAGAGACUUUGUUCACUUACUCCUAUGCAACUUAGCAUAAUUACCAAAAUACCCUUAUAUACAAAAAUGAACCUAAAGUCAAUCUAACCCUCAUAACCUAUGCCAACAAGAUAUAUAAGCUCAAAGCAAGGACCAUUGGUACCCAUAGGAGUACUAGAUCCCUUAGAAUCUAAUUCUAAAGUUUAUUCAACAUUUUACUAUAGAAAAUCAAUUGAACUCCAAUAUCCUAUGUAAAUAAUAAUAAGACACUAUGUGCUCAAGUCUGUGACUUGUUAUCUAUUUCAUUUAGUCUUCUCAUGAACUGGUGUUCAUAGUUUAACAAGGUGAAAGAUAUCAACCUUUCAAAACUACCUAUAUUAUUCUAGAGUUAUAGAUUCUCCUAUUGUGUGUUCAACUAACAUGUCUUAACUCUCAAAGAGCCUAUGUCAAGUUUCAUUUAAGGAACUAUUAUAAUCAUAGUUUUUAUGAACACGCCUCCUUAGGAUCAACCAAUGCGACACUCUAUUUCAAUUCCAUAAGAUAGCAUGAUGGCUCUAUUGAGAAUAUUUAUUGUUAUUGGUUUCCUUCAAUAAUGGUCCAAUCCAUAAGGAAUAUAUGAUCAACUUAUGAUCUCAUCUGUGGGUCAAAACUAAUAAUAACUUUAACACAAACUGAAUAUUCUCUCAAUGUUGAGAGAUAACACAAUGAAGCAGCUUGGUAAGAUCAUGACUACUUGAUAGCCUUAAGUUAUAACUCACAUAGGUCCUAUCAAAUGUGUAAUCAUAUACGCUAGUACACUCACCAUGAGAAACCAUGUUGAUAGUCAAGACCAACUAUCCCUCUAAUUAGGAGAUGAUGCACUACAACCUCUAAUGGAUUACCUAAACCCACAAAUCGGUUGUGAACAAGUUAUCUAUUUUCAAAGAACAUGUGAGUUGGAUCUUCUGUGCAACUCUUAAUGCACCAAAAUGACGAUCAACAUAAAAGAUGUAGACAAGAAUGGUCAUAAAGUGUAGUACAUGGAAUAAGGAUAGAUAAAAAGUGAAACUAAAAUAUCAUUAAAUAAAAAAUUUCAAAUUUAUUACAUCAUAUUAUUAAAUAAUGAAUUCCAAAUUUAUUACAUCAUGUAAUGCUUUUAAGGGCUCUAUCCUAACAGUUACUUUGUUGAACAUCUCGAUAUCUAGCGACAUCUUAUUUUAUUGUGGUUCUUAGAAAUAUGAAUUCGAUACAUCAAUUGUAGUUUCCUAAAAUCAUGCUCUCUAUUGUGGUAUCAAAAUACCAAAACCGAUAUCUUAGUGGUAUCGAAUUGUUUAUUCAUGUACAUUCUUUCUUCAAUUCUCUAUACAAAUUCUUAUCAACUCCUAACAUUAAUUCCAAAAUAUCUUUAGCAUAUAAAUAGGCCAAAGCAAUUGAACAUUCUGCAAUUAUGCUUAGAAUAGCAUCAAUCAAACCUCUUAAACCUAUAUAACUUACACAUAAGUCAACUCCCCCAAACCUUUAUUUGCUUCAAAGAUCUAAGCACAAAUUUGAAUUGUGGAGUCCCGAGACUCAAUCAAUUGAAAUAGAAAUUAAUAAUUAUUUUGCUAGUUCAUUAGGUUUCUUUAAUUUAGAGUUGUCUCAAAUUCACUCAAAUCAAUUUGAUCAAUAUUUUUAUCUUGGGAAUAAGAAGCAAUCUUUUUACUUAGUUUUGGUAAUGUAUAUAGGCUAAUUCUUGAGAAUGAUACCAGGAGUACUACGAAAAUGUUGUUGUCUUUUUUUUUUUUAUUUAACCAAAGUUACAACGUAAAAAAGCUUAGUAUUUUAAAUAACAUAGAAUCAUAGUCACCUGAUAUGAAUACCAACCCCACAGGAGAAUAGAUCUCUUUAACAAUCUAAUUUCCCCGUGUUUCACCUAGUUGCAACUUCUAUAUAAUUAAAGUAACACAGUAAAUAGAAGUCAACUACACUACAUAUAAGUGUAGCCUAAAUAGAAUUUACUUGCAUAUGAUUCCCUCGAAUCUUAAACUCAUAUAAAUUUUAAAACAAUUAUACAAUUAAGACGAGCCUACUACCUAUAAAAUGUCAUAAAUUUCUUUCCUAUCAUACAUAGGAUAUUACGAUCUUAAUAGGCAAUAUUUUUUAUGAAUGAUCACUUACUUAUCCAUCUUGUUACGUACUCAUUACAAGUACUAUAUAUAUUAAAUGGCUUGCAAACUGUAUUAUGAACCUAUUCAUUUUUCUCCUGCGUAUCAUAUCUCAACAUGUGUUUUGGCUUUUUUUUUUUUUGUCAUUUUCAAUCUUAAUAGGAAAUCUAUUUGAUGAAUACCUAUACUAGGAGACAUUGGAGUAGUUGAGACAAAAUGUUUUAGAAACUCUCUAUUAAGUUGUUUUUAGUUUUUAUUUAAUUAUAAUCAAGGACUAAAAUAUAGGAAAUUAUGGAAAUAUUUUAAUAUUUCUUAUUCUGUAUUAGUGUACUCAUAAGAAAUAAAAAAGAUUAUAUAUUUGUUUUAGGCAUAUGAAUUAAGGAAAAGUGUGUUUCUUGCACCAUGUGAAAAAAAAUCAUAAAAUAUGAAGAAGUCAAGUUUAUAAAAUCCAAGCUUCAAACCACCAUCUGAAAAUAAUUAGGAUUUUAUACACUUUUUUUUUUUUAUCAAAAUGCUAUAUACCACAUUUUAAUAUUAUGGUAUUACAUUUUUGUAGUAUAUAUUUUUCAAACAUUUUUGAAAAAUGUUUUAACCCACAUUUUUUGUUCGGACACCAUCUCAAGUACUAUCUUCGAUUGUGAAUGCAUAAAAUUUGAAUUAUUUAUAAAAAAUUAUAAUUUUGUGAUUAUUUUUAUAUGAGUGUGUGGAAACACACUUCUCCCAAUGUAUCACAAGGGCUCAGUUUUGUUGAUGCCAAGUCAACUGGAAGUAAUGUCUCUCCCUUAUUUCCUGCAAAAGAUGUUCGGACACACCCUCCAAAGCUCAAGUCAGAUGAUAAAAGCCAAUUUUGAGACGGAGAGCGAAUUUUUACAAUGUCUAGAACAUUGUCACAUUUGUGCUGAGAUAGCUUCUUGACUUUCAUAGUCAUGAUGACAACACAGUUGGUGACAGAGCAAUCAUCACCCUUUAGGCGGCUGACAGGGAUUGCUAGUGGGGGUAACCUAAUGGUUCACUAGUCACUUCAUUCUAUAAGCGAUAUGGUACAACAUGUAGCAAGCCGCCUGCGGAUACAGGGUGAUGUCCCAUCGAGCGUGUUCCUAGCAUAGGGAGAAUGAUUGCUCGUGGGAGUGGGUCAGGAUACCUAUUUGGAGUGCAUUGCAUAGUUUUUAGAGGAACACCGCGUAACUGGCUAUUGGUACUUCCAACCCGGAUUGGAUAUUCAGGUCUGGUUACAUUCAUCUGGACAUAGGUAUAAGGAUGCCACGUGGAGCCAAUGUGGCAUGCCAAGUGGUCACACGAGGAAGCCCCCUACAAUGCCCCAUUUUUACCUGAUUGUUUAGUUCGGACAGAAAAGGCGAGUUAAAACAUUUUUUAAACCCCUUCGGUGACCGUAUGACACGUGGUGUCUGAGAAGGGCAUUUAUGGAGGAGCGUUGUUAUUGAAGUUGUUGACAGGUAGCAUGUCACCUUGAGGGGUGUAUUUUUGGGCAUCCUGUCAUUUGGGUUCCUAGGGAAUUUGCCCUUAUAAAUAGGAAAUUAAUCCUUAGGAAGCACACUUCUUUGUCUUUCCUUCCUCGAAUUUGCUUUUCAUCUUCUAUUUGCUCUGCACCUCCCACAUCCAGGCAACGACUAUUGCCUUCAUGUUGUCAUACGUCUUUUCCAACGGUUUUUCGAUUGGUUUAGUUUCGGCAUUCACAGUUCGUCUUUGUAUUUUGCUGAAAGCGCUCAUCAGGUACAUUUGUCCUUGUUCUAUGAUGCCCCUAAUUUCCCAUUUCUCCUUGGUUGUGUUGUUGGCUUGUGAUUGGGGAUUGUUCUGGUGCCUGAGAGUUCCGAUCAACCACAAAAUGGCUAUUCUAAUGUUUGUAAAAGAGGGUGCAUAACUUUCCUGGGGUAGUAUGUCUUGUCAGUGGCAUGCCCUGCUAACCUUUAUUAGGGUUAUGUUUUGUUGUUUCCGUGCUGAGGCUCUAUUGAGUCCACCUGGCACUUAUUUUUCCUUUGUGUGUUUGGGGUGUCAUGGCGGGAAAAUCCUCAACUAGGAUUGGGGACUGUUGAGCGGAGCUGGGUACCUUGAACAAGGCAAGCCUUAAAUCUGGUAUGUUAGCCCGUUGGAUGUCUUAGGGCAUUGUCUUUUGGCGGUAGGGUCGGGUAGUUGCUUUCUAACUAUCGGCAUUAUGCCAUGCAGGUCCAACUCGACCCAUUGCUCUAAGAUGUCUGCAAAAAAAAAAAAAUAUCUCCUCAUCCAGUGCAAUUGGGCAAGGCGGGAAGGAUGGUCGGGCAGGCGUAAGUUUCAGACGGCCUAGUUUGGGAAAACCUACCGAGCUCCUUAAUGAGAGAGUAUUCCACAAGCAUUUUUUCAUUCCAAAUGGUGUUUCUGUUUAGUUAGUGAAUGGGAGUCUGGCGUCCACUACGAAGGUAGCUCAUGGUGCCAUCUUCUUUAGUAAGGAGCAAUUCAACGUGGCGUUCCGCUUUCCUUUCCCAUCCCUCUUCAAACAAUUCUUGCAUUAUACCCAAAUCUCUCCAGCCUACAUCCAUCCUAACAUUGUUCGAGUGCUGAUGGGAUGUAACAUCUUGAACAUGCUCUUCCAUUUGAAUCUCUCCCUGUUAGAGGUUCUCUUCGUCUACACUAUCAAGAAGGGUAAAAAGGAUAUCUUCAGCAUGUUUGCCCAUAUCCUAUCCCUCCAACUAGUGACCAGUCUUCUUGAUUCGAACAAGGGGGGAGCCAAAGGACAUGUACUGUUCCGGGGACUAUGGGUUGGCUUAAUAGAGCAUUCAAAAAGGGAUUUUUGCCCUAACUUUUCACUGAAAAUUCUUGUUAGGGAUGGCUUUGAGUGUUCUUUCUCUUGUUUUUUCCUAUUGAACCGAUGUCGUUUGAUCAUUAACAUUUUCUAUUUUGGUUGGUGCAAGUAAAGACAGAAGGGGUCGCCUGGUAGAGUGGGUAAAGAAAGCUUCGUUUACUCGUUUGAACAAGCUGUUUGAAAUUACCAUGAACGAAAUGAACCAUCAGAGGCUUCUUAUUGCUCGGAACCUACUUGCGGUUAUCCGGGGCCUCAAUUGUACAUUCUUUCCAUCAUUCCUAGGUGGCUUCCUAAGGUUGUGGUGCCCAAGGAGUAUUACAUCUUGAAAGAUCUCCUCUUUUACGAAGAAACGUGUGAGACAGAUACUAAAGCUCGCCAGGAGCGCUUCAACCAGAGGGAGGAGAUAAGGCAAGAGGGGACACUAAGGAGGGCUCUAGGCGAAAAUGGUCGGGCUUCAUCUUCUACAGCCUAUCCACCGGUUAAGAAGAAGAAGUCUAGUGCCAAAUCAGUUAAGGCUUUGGUUUCGGCUCCUGCCUCGCCUUCUAUCUCUACUCUUUUCGCAUCUACUUUGGUGGAUAGCUUCGUUCCGGCUUCAAAGGGUGAUUUGGACCCCCCAGAUUUUAAACGAAGUGACUUGGGCAUUAGCCAUUUCGAACCCGAGCCAGAGCCUAUAGAACGCAACGUCAUAAAUGAGCCUGAGGUGGAGAAAGGCAUGGCGACUGGCUUGAGAGCCAACUUCAAGGAGAGACAUCGUAAAUGCCUUCAUGAGGCUAUAACAAUUGAUACUCCCCCAGCCAAAAGAACCUGUCUUAAGGGGGUUCAGGAGGAGCCCAUGAGAGAUGCUUCUUCAGUGCUAGUGCCUUCACAGGAUACUACGAAUUCUAUCAACAUGCCGGCUGUUGAGAAAGAGACUGGGCCUGCUUAGGAUGGGGCACUUGGUGGUGUGGCUCCUAUUGAAGAGGGCUUGGAUAAAAAGGAUACCCUUGUUUCCGCUCUUCCUCCUAGCUAAGAAGAAAUGAUAGAGAUGCUGAGGCGGGUCUUGUGCUUCAUUGAUGCUAAACCACCUUCCACAAAGAUGUCAAACUUUUUCCCCCUUACUAAGCGGAUUUCGGUCAAUCUGGGUGGUGACCCCUCUGCUUUUGUAUCAGCUCGACUCCCAUUCGACACACCUGAGUCUGCCAUUUCCCAUAUUCAGCAACUACAGGAUUACACGGUUCUAGAGACUACAGAAGUGGUAAUCUUUUCUGCUUUUUUUUAUGAUAAUGUGAACUUUGGCGCCUAAGGUGUGUCCGCUCCUAAUUUUGCUUCAAUCAUUGUCUUCAGGUGGUAGCCAGAGUCCGCAACAUGGUACGUCAGCGUGAUCUACUUUUUGAGUGGUUGGAGGUUGUUGAGGCCAUGAGGACUUUCAUUUGCCACCAUAUAAGCAACGACGAAUAACUGCAUGCAAAAUUGGAGCGAGCAGAGAAUGAUCUUUUUGCCGCUUAAAAGGUUGCUACGGAAGGAACUGAAGCUUUAAAGUUAGAUGAUGGGAAGAAGGAAGCGAUCUACACCAAGGCGGACAAGCUAAGGAAGGAGGGCAGACCUGCGGAGGUCAAGCUUAAAGAGGUUGAAUAGGAGAAUGCCCAACUGAAGAAGGAGAUGGAGGAGCUCUAGGCAAGACUCGUGGCUCAGAAAAAAAAGAUGGAAGAGCUUAAGACUGGGUUUGUAGCUUAGAAGAAGGAACUAGAAGAGGAGUACCAAAAGCAAGUGGAUGAGAUGUACUUCUUCAGCUAUCGCUGCUGCAUGAAGAAGAAUGACAUUACCUAAGACAUUCCCUCCAUUCCUUCUGAAGAUGAGGAUGAAGUUCUUGGAGGUUCCUCCUGAUGAGAUGGCAUUUCUCCCUUGUUUUACUCAGAGCAAAUCUUUAUUACUGGAUAAUUUUCUUUCCGCCGCGAUUGAUUCGACCAAUGAUUUGUAAAAAACAAUUUUAUACUUAUAAUUACAAAUGCAAUGUUCACUUGUUCUUUUUUCAUUCUUAACUUCUUUUUGCCUUUACUGAUAGUAUUGUUUUAGAUUAGAUACAUUCCACGGACGAAGUAAAGGAGUUCCGUCCAACCUUUGUAAAUGGUAAGCCCUAAUUUCACCAGCCUUCAAGACAAUGUAGGGUCCUUCCCAGUUUGCCUAGAGUUUCCCGACCCCCUUUUCAGUUGUAUUUUCAAAGAUUUUUUUGAGGACAAGUGUCUCGACCUUAAAGGCAUGGGGUUGGGCUUUCCGGUUGUAGUAGAAAGGAACUCUUUGUUGAUAGGAGGCCAUCCGGAUGGACGCACUUUCUCUUACUUCUUCUGCCCAGUCUAAGUGUUUUCUAAGUUUUUGACAUUCGUCCCUUUGACCCUACACGGCGGUUUGAGCUAUGGGCAUGCCUAUUUAUGUGGGGAUGACUGCAUUUAUCCCGUAUGCGAGAGUGAAAUGAGCAUUUCCUGUUGGUCUUCUAGGUGUUGUUUGAUAGGCCCACAGGACAUCGAGCAACUCUUCCACUCAUUUUCCUUUAGCUUUCUCCAGUCUUUUCUUCAAUGCGGAUAGCAAGGGUUUUUUCGUUGCUUCUGCUUGCCCGUUGCUUUGAGGAUACCAUGGCGUGGAGUAUAAGUUUUUGAGUUUCAACUCUGAACAAAAAGUUUUGAAUACGACGCUGUCAAAUUGCGGCCCAUUAUCAGCUAUAAUCGUUUGGGGAAUUCCGAACCGACAUAUGAUGUUCUUCCAAACAAAAUUUAUGAUGUCCUUGUCUUUGAUGUUAGCAUAAGCUUCUGUCUCUACCCAUUUUCUGAAGUAGUCAGUGGCCACAAGUAGGAAUUUCUUUUGAGCGAUUGCGACGGGCAGGGGCCCUACUAUGUUCAUCCCCCACUGCGCGAAUGGCCAAGGGCUCAUUAUUGGGUUGAGAACUUCGGAUAGCAUGCGUGGAAUGGGUGCAUGUCUUUGGCACCUAUCACAUUUCUUGACAUAGGCUUCCACAUAUUGCUUCAUGGUUGACCAAUAAUAUCCUUGCGAGUGGGUGCGGUGCGUUGGGGAUUGGCCCGUUCUGUGAUUGUCGCACACACCUUCAUGCAGCUCUACUAACACAUAUUAAGCUUUCAUACUGUCUAAGCACCUAAGGUACGAGCCCCCAAAAGAUCGCUUGUAGAGGCAAUCUCCGAUCAAGGUGAAACGAGCAGCUUGCAUCCGGGCCUUAUAUGCAUGUUCGCUAUCUUCUGGCAGGUAUCCUGUCCAAAGGUAGUUCUCAAUUUUGAGUGUCCACUUCAUUCUUCCUUCCCUAACGCUACAGACAGGUGUAACUGUGAUUAAGAAAGUGGGAUGGAGAUGGAUGGACAACAAUAUUGCCUCUCUCACGAGGAGUGUAGCAGCUACUCCUGCCAAGGCAUUGACUUGUAUGUUUUUUAUGCGGGGAACCCUCUUGAUAGCCCAUUCAUUCAACUGAUUCAAGGUAUCUCGUACUUUAGUUAUUUAUUAAGACAUGCGUUCAUCUUUGGCUUCGUACUCCCCUUGGAUAUGCCCAACAACGAGUUGAGAGUCACUGCAAAUUUCAAGCUUAGAGGCGGAAAGUGCAAGUGCAAGGUUCAAUCCAAACAGGAUGGCUUCAUAUUCGGCCUCACUAUUAGAUGUUGGAAACUAGAGUCGAAUGGCCUGCUCCAACUGCUCCCUAGUCGACGAUCGUAAAAGAAGGCCUACUCCUGACCCCAAGGACUGAGAGGCUUCAUCGAUGUGUAGGGUCCACCAUUCCUCUUUGCUUGGAUUUUUGAGUUGAGGGUUUGUUGGGGAACCUCCGCUAUGAAGUUAGUCAUGACUUAUCCUUUUAUGGACAACCUGAGCUGAUAUUCGAUUUCAUAUUUACUCAAUUCUAUGGCUCACUUUAGCAUCUUUCCUGAUGGAUCAGGCUUGUGCAAGAUACUUCUGAGAGGCUGGUUGGUGAGCACAACUAUUGGAUGAGCUUGGAAAUAGGGGUGGAGUUUUUUAGCAACGCUUCUCAAGGCUAAAGUCAUUUGCUCCAUAUUCGAGUAUCUGGUUUUCGCAUCGGCCAUCACUUUGCUAAUGUGGUAGACGGGUCUUUGCUUUUUAUCUAAUAUGCAACGAAAUAAAACAGCACUGAUCGCCCAGUUGGAAACUGCUAAGUACAUGUACAACCGUUCUCCGAGAUGAGUGCUACUCAAAAUGGGUGGUUGCGUGAGAUAAUGCUUGAUUUCUUCAAAUGUAGACUGCCAGUCUUCCGUCCAUCCCAUCGUGUUGGCACCCUUCAACACCAGGAAGAAAGACCUAAAUUUGUUCGUGAACUGGGCUAUGAAGCGCCCUAGCGCAACGAGUCUGUCGGUGAGGCGCUACAACUCCUUCUUGCUGCUAAGGACGGAUGUUUCCAUGACAACUUUGAUUUAAUCUGGGUUGACUUCUACCCCCCUUGAGUGACCAUAAACCCUAAGAACUUGCCUGCACUUACCCUAAAGGUGCAUUUGGAUGGAUUGAGUUUCAUGUCGUACUUUCUCAACAAGUGAAAGACUUCUUCUAAGUAUUGGUCAUGUUCGUCCUUGGUUUUUCUUUUAACCACGAUGUCAUCAAUAUAUACCUCCACCAUGUGCUCAAUUAGAGGCUUGUAGAUUUUAGUCAUCGACUUUUGGUAAGUGGCUCCAACGUUUUUAAGUCCAAACGACAUGACUUUGUAGCAAUAGAGUCCGUGUGGUGUUAUGAAGGCAGUUUUUUCUUCAUUUGUUGGGGACAUGGGAAUCUGAUGGUACUCGAAAAAGGCAUCCAAGAAAGAGAGAAUUUUAUGCCCGGCGGUGGAGUCCACUAUUUAGUUUAUCCGUGGUAGGGGAAAGUUGUCUUUGGGGCAUGCGUCGUUGAGGUUAGUGUAAUUGAUGCAGAAUCGCCAUUUCCUUAUCUUUUUGGGGACUACCACCACGUUUGCCAACUAGUCUAGAUACUCAACCUCCCUAAUAAAUUCGGCUACCAGUAACUUAACUAUCUCAUCUUGAAUGAUUCUUUGCUUUUCCGGUUGAAACCGUCGGACCUUCUGGCGGAUAGGUCUUGAUGAUGGUAGGAUGUUAAGUCGGUGGGAGGCAAUCGACGGGUGAAUUUCGGGCAUGUCAGAGUGUGUCCAUGCAAAAACAUCUUUGUUUUGCUAAAGUGUCGCUUCAAGGCACCUUGCCUCGUUUGGCUCUAAGAGGGAACUAGCAUAAGUAAAGUGACCAUAUUCCUUUGGGAUCUAAAUGGUCUGCAAGGGAUCAAUUACUAAGGAAUCCUUAUCUGCUGGGUACUGUAAUUGCUAUUGAUCGGGCACACUUGCUUGUUUGGGGGGAGGUCUGUGGUCACCACUGAGUCCGGUCUCCCGUACCACUUGGUAGCACUAUCGGGUUGCCAGUUAACUACCAUAGAGAUUGAUCUGCCCGUCUUCAGUGAGAUAACUCACCAUCUGAUGAUAUGUGGAAGGGAUGACUUUCAUACCAUGCAACCAGGCGCAUCCCAAUAUGGCAUUGAAUGGGGAUAGGUCCUUUACUACUGAGAACUGCACGUUAAGUGUAACAAGGCAGACUUGGACUGGUAAUACGAUGUCGCCUAGGGAUGUUGUAGAAGCCCCAUUGAAUCCUAACAAUAUCCGCCCAGGAUUUUCCAGAUUUGUGGGCACAAAUCCCAUUUUUUUUUAUCACGGAUACCUGUAAGAGGUCUGCUGAGCUACUCGAAUCGACCAAGAUUCAUCUCACAUCGAAGUCACUAAUUCCUAGUGUCAGGAUAAGGGCAUCUUGGUGCGGUCGUAAUAUACAGUUGGGGUCUAUUGGGGAAAAAGUGAUUAUCCCAUCUAUUGGGUGAACGCUCCCGCUAGUCAGUUCAAGCUGGAUGAAGCUAACUUAAUCCCGUACAGAGACGGCUCAAAGUAGCCUUUGUCUCUUUCAUUUGGAGUUGUAUUCUUCAUCGAGGGGUCUACCGUGGAUAUAGUUGAUCACGACCCUAGGAGCAAUUGAAGUUGUGAGGGUCGUGGUGGUCGAACUCUGGGGUGUCUCCCCACUUUUAACUUCUGAGCGGACGUAUUGUUUUAAGUGUCCAGUUUUUAUAAGUUUUUCCACCAAGUAGUGGAAACUCCUACAUUGCUUCGUAGUAUGCCCGUGUUCUUUGUGGUAGGCACAUUUUCUGUUGCGAUCUCUCUUGGUUGGGUCAGUUUUUAGGGGCUCAGGCCACCUAAAGUCGGACAACUUGCGAAUCAUAGGAAGGAGUUUCUCAUACGACACGUUAAGAAAUGUGAGAUUAAACUAGUCUAGCUGGCGGUGUUUGCCUUACCCCCUGCUUGGUUGCUUUCAUUGGCUCGUGGUUUUGAGAUUCCUAACCACGUCGUUCUUGGCUGAUUGGCUAGUGACUAAAAUCUAUUGUGUGGCUGCAUGGACAUCGUCUUCGAGCAUAGAAUAUUUGUUCGUCUGCUUGAAUAGAUCAUCCAUAGUCACAAAGGGCUUUUUAGCAAGGGACUCAAAGAAUAGCAUGCCCGGGCAGAUACUCCUCUUAAACAUUUUGAGGACAACGUUCAUGUUGUAGGAUUCUACCUGUAGCACAGCUUACCCGAAUCGUUUUGCAAAUUCUCUCAGUGAUUCAUUCUCCCUCAUUUUUAUGCUAUGCAAGGUGCUAAUAUUUUGCUUAUGUCGCGCUAAGCAUAGAUAUUGCCCCACGAAGGCCUCUAAUAGAUCCCGAAAAUUAUCAACGGAAUUCAUCGGAAUGCGGUGGAACCAUGAGAAAACCUUACCUUGGAGGCUGGCGGGAAAGACUUUGCAUAAUAGCGCUUCGUUCCCUAUGUCGAGGGUCAUGAGUUAUCUGUAGUGCAUGAUAUGGUCAAAUGAAUCGUUCGAUCUGUCGUACGCGGAGAAUUUUGACACGAUGAACCCUCUUAGGGGCUCGUAAUUGAUAAUGCGAGAGCUAAAGGGCGUGGAGAGCAUGUCAUCCAACUACUUGUUGAUAAAGCCGGGGAGGAGGGGCUCUACUUACCUCAUCCCCUCCGAUUUGUUGUAGUGGUGGGUAUGGAAGAUAGUCCGGUAUGAUGGGUGUAGUUGAAUGACUAGGAUGUGCCUCUUGGGUUGAGGUUGCAUGUGACUUCUCAGCAUCGGGUAUUUGUGGUCCCAACCUUGCGCGUAUCACAUCCGAUAACUGGGACUUCUUAUCGAGUCGUCGUUUUGAUGAGAUAUGAGUGGAGUUUGAGCUUUCAUCCUAUGACGCGUGAUAGGCUGAGAGGGGUCUUUCAUCAGGCCAUACACCGUGUAUGUCAAGUAAGGGCUCUAUGUUUCUAAGGUAUGUUGCCUCCUGGUUCUGCUUGGAGUUCAUUCGUUGGCUUCUCGGUUGCCAGUCACGGGGGGCCCUGAUGAAGACACCUGAAUCCUUAACAUGUCGUUCUCUUCCCUAAGCCUCCUUGUUUCUUGGAGGAGGGCCUGUAGUUGUCGCUCGCUUUCUUGCUAGCGUCGUUCCAUACUUUCAUGCUAGUCAAAGUAACCUUCAUCGCCCAUGGCUGAAGACCGACUUCUUGAGGGUGUGGACAUCUUUGUUUUUGUAGUUCCCACAGACGGUGUCAAUGUUGAUGCCAAGUCAACUGGAAAUAAUGCCUUUCCCUUAUUUCCUGCAAAAGUUGUCCGAACAGGUUGUCCGGACACACCCUCCAAAGCUCAAGUAAGAUGAUUUAAGCCAAUUUCAAAGGUUUCCCUCUUUUAGAAGCUAAGGAGUCUUCCUCCUCUGUGUGCGUGCGUGCGUACCUUCGUUUUGAGAUAGAAGGGGGUUUUUUAUAGUGUCUGGAACGUUGUCACAUAUGUGCUGAGAUGGCUUCUUGACUUUCAUAGUCAUGAUGACAACACAGUUGGUGACAAAGCAAUCAUCACCCUUUAGGCGGCUAAUAGAGAUUGCUAGUUGGGGUGACCUGAUGGUUCACUUGUCACUUCAGUCUGCAAGCAGUAUGGUGCAAUGUGUAGCAGGUCGCUUGCGGAGAUAGGGUGACGUCCCAUCGAGCAUGGUUCUGGCAUAGGGAGAAUGAUUGCUCGUGGGAGUGGGUUAGGAGACCUAUUCGGAGUGCAUUGCAUAGUUUUUAGAGGAACAUUGCAUAACUGGCUAUUGGUACUUCCAACCCAGAUUGGAUAUUUGGGUUUGGUUACAUUCGUCUGGACAAAGGUAUAAGGAUGACACGUGAAGCCAAGGUGGCCUGCCAAGUGGUCACACGGGGAAGCCCCUUACAGGUUUGUCCAAGUGGCAAAGAGGCCUUCUUUUAACUAAGCAAUGACCUUUCAUGUGGCGUGAUAAAAUCUGAAGUUAAAAGGCAUAAGACGUUAAAAUGCCAAAUUCGAAUGCUAUCCCGAAUUUCUGUUUAGGGUUGCUGAUCGCUUCGGAGGUUGCAAGUUGAUGCACGACUUGGGCUUGGGCUUUCUAUGGCCAUGCAACAUCAAGAAUGGCUUAGGGACUCCAACUAAAUGAAUAGGAGUGAUUAUUUUCACGGGAAUCCAACUAAAUAAACGAAAGUGCUUAUUUUCAUUUUUUAGAGCUUUAUUUUCUUAUCAAACUUAACAUCAUCUCAUUAGUGGUAAUUAAAUAGGUCUAACAGAGACGACCUUCAAUAUGAGAAAAGAAAAAUAAAUAGUAAAUCAACACCUUACUCUUAUAAAGACUAUAAGAAGGGCCCAUGCAAUACUGGUGCAAUUAACUUUUAAACUGUUUCUUAUCUUAAAAUUGAAUCUCAAAAUUGAUACAAUAAUAUCAAUAACAUAGUAUUUCUUAGUUAUAAAACUAAGAUUUUAUUUUAUUUUUUGUUUUAUUUAAGACUUUAAAGGCAUUUUUAAAGAUGUUUCCCUUUUAUGUCAUCAUUUUUUUUAAAUCAAUUUUAUCUCAAUUGACAAAGUAAAAGCAUUUUUUUUUUUUUUACUUUUAAUUUAACUGAAAAAGUGACUUUUUCUAUUUUAUCUUCUUAAUAUUUUAACUUUGUUAUAAUACUCAAAUCCAAUUUCUCAUGUAAAAUGAAAAAUAUUUUAAAUUUUUUGACAAUUCUUGACUUGAAGUUAACUCAAACUAUCCAAAUUUUAUGUUGUUUAAAUGAUAAAUGAAUUUAUCAUAAACUCAUGAAGUUCUGAUCAAGAAAAAAUUAUAUUUAAUUGAGUAAAGAAAGAAAUUGUUUGACGAUGAUAUUUCCUUGAUAUACCGAAUAUCAAUGCACCUCGACAUGAUAAACGAUGCAGAUAUAUCCUUAAUAAGAUAUUACAUUAUAGAAAAAUGUAUGUAGUUUCAUAGAUGACCCACUUAACUAUAUCAAUUAAUAAUUUCCUAAUAUGCAACUAAAUCCAUAAUGAUUUGUUUAGGAGAUCUUUGUAAAAUAUUUGCUUAAUGUUGCUAGUUUUUUUUUUGAAAUUGAUGUCAACUUGGAUCUCACCUUUAACUUUUCAUAAUGUGGAAAGAAGUUAUGAUCUGGCGUCUUUAUAUUUCAAUAAGAAAUUAUUCAAUGUCAUUAUCUUUUUAAGUACUUUGCGCGAGACUGGAUCCAUAGUAGAACUAUCAGCUUCAACUUUCUCUUCUCUACCAUUUCCCAUGAUGCUCUCUCAAUAAUCUGCCCAUCACUCAAAAUCUCUGAAGUUGUAUCAUUUUCUUUAGGGCAGAUUGAUAAGUACUUGACAUCCAUUCCAUUAAUUAGGGCAAUACAACUCUUUGAAGAUUAUUUCCAAUUCUUGAAUGCGCCAUUUAAGGAUUUAUCCAAAGUCUCUUAAAAAAUGUUAUAUAUGAGCCUAAUUUUGCUAUUUCAAACGCAAUUUGCAAUUGUAUUCGCUUGAAUAUCUAUUAUUCAAGUCGAAAUCACAAGAUUCAUGGCAUCUAAAACAUUUAUCUUUUUUAUUUUGAUUGCCUUACUUGAUAACUCUCUAAAAGAUUAUGAUAAAAUCAAUGGCAAUAAUGCAUCUUGAAAUCUCAUAUGAAUCCCGCAUCACAAGGCCGAUUCUUUGAUGUUGAGUUGGGUGGAAAAAAAACAACUCCAUAUUUUUCAAUCCUUCAUUUUUUUUUUUUUUAUCAAGACAUUAUUGACAAGCAAGAGAACUUUGCUACCAUCCAUAUUUUUCUAUCAUAUCAUUAAACAUAUUCUUGAAAUAACGCCUUAAUCAUCCAUGCUGGCUUGUUGGCGUGAUACUCAAUUCAUACUUUGCAAAUUUACAUUUUUGAAACACUAAGGUUUAGCAUACUUCCAAAUAAUCCAUAAAGGAAUUUUCCUAAACCAUCCUCAAUACAACAAAUAACAAUUGUAAGUCUUUCCUUGUCUUAUUUUUUCCUUCCAAAUUGUUUUGUUGUAAGAGAAUGAUCUUGUUGUAGCCUAUAAAAUAAUCAUGUUUCCUCCAUAAUAAAAACAUCUUUCAUUGAAAAUUAAUAUAAUUUCUCCCUUAUGGAUUGCAACUUGUUCUUCAUGUCCUUUGCCCUCCAUAUAAACUAAUCCACUUUUUCCGAAACAAUGAUAUGUUUCGAUACCAUAUCUUGAUUUGAAAAGCUCAAACCAACUUUAAGAAAUUGAAUCGUGAAGUAUCUACAAGAUAUAGUUUUCUCAGAAAAUCUUGUCUUAUUUAUGAUUAGUUUUCUUGUCGUAUUUAGACAUUCUGUAUAAAACAAUGCACUUAUAGAAACUCUUCUCUAAGUCAGGGAAUUUUGCGUCUUUGUGUUAAUUAAUAUUAUUUUCAAGAUCAAUUGAGAGAUAUUCCAAAGACUGCUUGAUCAUAUUUGAUAUUGUCCCUUAACUCGCUUGCAAGUUAGGCUUUUGUGAAAUCCAUUGUUGCAAUUGUUUGAGUGCAAGUUGGAUUUUGUUUUUUGUACUUGCACAAUGUGGCACACAUUUCAUGAGUCAUUGUUGCUUUCUUUACAGCUUUGAUAUGGGAAGCCAUUUUAGUUAAAUGUUCAUAAAAUAGAAUAAUGUGGUAAAUUGAAUAAUGUAAUACAAUAGUUUUGAAAAAAAAAAAAAUACUUUUUUGAAAACAUAAGUAAUUCAUGAAUUUUGCUUGUUUAAAUAAAUACAUGAAAUAGUUAGUUUGUAAAACAAAAUAUUUAAUUCGCUUAAUUACAAUAAAAAGAUAUUACUUGUAAUAUUUUAGAAAAAUGAGGAAUAUAUUGAUAAAUUAAUAAUCUAUUAACUAAUUGAUAAAUAAAAAAAUUAUUAAUUUGUCAAUUAAUUAAUAUUCACUUAAUUAAUAGAUUUUCCUUGGUCCCAAGGAUAUUAAUUUAUAGAGGUUUAACCUAAUGUAGUAACAAUCAUUUUUACUUAAAUUCUACAAAAAAAAAAAAAAAAAAAAAAAAAAAACCCAGAAGGAAAGAAAAUGAUCUACACCUAUCUAGAUUUUAGGCUUUAAGACAAUGUUUAGUAUAUGGGAAUAACGAAUGAAAAUAAAUAUUUUAAAUACAUUUUGGAAUGCAAUAUUGAAUUAAAUAUUUGUUUUCAUUUCAAUGUUAGGCAAUAAAGGGAAUAUGAAUGGAAAAAGAGAUAAAUUAACAAUAAUAUCCUUACAUAUAGUUUAAAAUAAUUUAUUUUUUUCAUUUAAAAAAAAAUCUCACACUAUACAUAGUUUUAAAAAAUAUAUUUGAGAUUUUUUUUUCUAAAUAAUAAAAGUCCAUUUAGCCAUAUGAUUUAAAAAUAAUGUUAUGCUUUUAAAAACAAUUUUUUUUAAAAAAAAAAUUGUAGUAUUAUUUGGUUGUUGUUCUCUAAGAAUAAUUUUUAAAAACAAAGAGAAAUAGAGAACUAUUUUUUUUAUACUAGAGAAAUAAAUUUCAAAUCAAACAUAUUGAAUUUCUUAACGAGUUAAAUAAUUUUAAAAAGUAAUUUGAAACUCUAUAUAUAUAUUACACGUUUUAAGUCAUAAUUUAUUAUUUAUUAUUUAUUAGUUCUCCACACAACUAGAUUUUUUUUAAAAAAAACAUAUCUUUUGGAGUUUUUUUUUCCUUUUGCUAAAUAAUAAAAGUUCAGUUGGUGGUGUGAUUUAAAAAAUAAAUAAAUAAAAAUUAUUUUAAAAAAUUAAUAGCAUUGUUUGGUUGUUAUUUUUUAAAAACAAAAUGAAAUAGAAAAUUGUUUUUUCGAUUUUUUGUUUCACUCUAGAAACCGAAUUCCAAAUCAAUAGUAUUGAAUUUAUUAAUAAGUUUAAUAAUUUUUAAAAAUAAUUUGAAACUAAUAUAUAUAUAUAUAUAUAUAUAUAUAUAUAUAUAUAUAAUUACUGUAAAAAAUAAUAUACCAAAACUAAUAAGUUAUGAGUCAUGAUUUAUUAGUUAUCCUAUACACACAACUAUAUCUUUUGAAUUUUCUUAUUAGUUAAAUAAACUUUAAAUUAAAUACAACAUAAUUAAUAUUUUAAAUUCUUUGAUGACUCUUUUUAUUUUUUAGAAUAAUUUGAAAUUCAAAAAAUUGAUUAAUUAAUUAUAGAUUAAAUAAAAAAUUUCAAAAUACUUCACUCGUAAUUGAGUACUAAAUAUAUACAUAUAUGUAAUGAAAAACUUGACUUAUUUAUAUCAUAAAAAAUUAAACUUUAUUGGUUUUUAAAUUCAUUUAAAAUAAAAUAGUAUUAAGUAUUAACAAUUAUUAAUUUAGAAUUAUUAUUACGUAUUUUUAACAAAAUAAAUCAAUUAUGCUUAUGAGAAUGUUAAUAUAUCCAUAUUUUUAUAAUAUUUAUAAAAAAUAAAAUUUAUGAUUUAAUUAUUUGUAAUUAAAAAAAUUAUUUGCAAUAAGACUUGAAUUAAAUUUAGUUUAUGUUAUAUAAAUUUAAUUUAUAAUUUUUGUUUUACAAAAUCAAAAUAAAAAAUUAUUUUUAAAAACUUAUCUAAACAUGAUGUUGCUUUUUUAUUUUUUGAAAAAGUGUUAUUAAAAAAUAACUUAUAGAAAGGAAAUCAAAAUACUCAUUAAAGAUUAUUUGAAAUCUCACAUAAGUGAUCCUUUUUUCAUUAGAAUAAUUUUUUAUUCUAUUUCCAUCAUCACUUGAGUUACGCAAACAUGAGAAUAAAUGAGAAAGUAAAUGAGAUAUUCGUUUUCACUCCUCAUUCCAAUGUACCCGGUAAUACUGAUUGACCAACUUUCUUGGCUUAAAAAUGUGAUAGGUGGUGAUUUUAUCGUUGCUAUGAGAUUAUAUACUCUUCUAGUCUUCACCUUUAUAGAUUUCAAAUGGAAUAAUUGUCUCAGAGACGCACGUAAAGAAGCCCUCGCCUACAUAAUCAAAAGAAAAGAGGCCUCUCCCAAGCCUCUUCCAGCUUAAAUGAAGAUAAAAGGAUAGAAGAAAUUAGGUUUUGUUUGGCUUUUUGUUCUCCAGAACCGCAACUACAAAUUGUCCUCUUUUCUAUUCUUAAGAAUAAAAAAUAUAUUGUUUUUAAAUAACAUUUUUUAAUUAAUUUACAUUUUUUCACCUGUUUUUUUAAUAUUGCUUUAAAAAAAUAAUUAUACAAACAUAUAAAAUAAUUUAAAAUAAAACACAAGACAUAAAAAUUAUUUUACAAAACAUCAUAAAACUGUUUUCAAAAAUUAUUUUUAAGAUCUGUUUUAAAAAUCAGUUACCAAACAUAUCCUCCCAUGAAUUUAAUUAAAGAUGGGAUAAAGCAUACUUUAAAAAGUCUCUGUUGUUGCAAUUUUGCCAAUUAUAUUGUUAUACUUUGACCUCUAGACCCGAGUAUUUAAUUGGCAAAAUAUAAUGAAGAGGUACACGAGGAUUAAUAAAAACCAACUUAAUAUAUACUAAUUAAUUUACUUUUCAAUAUCCUCAAGUAGGCCUUCAACUUCAACUUUAUAAAAUUCCGAAGAACAAGACAAUCAGCACCAACAAGGCUUUCUUUGUGGGAAAGAGAGGUGGAUCCUUAUCAAAUCUACAUUGGACCCCAUUUGAUAUCCACUGAUAAUGUCGCCAAACCUCACUGACAUUUGAUUAAUAAAGAUAAAAGAUAAAAUCAGAUAAUGACAAAUCUUGUUACUAGCAAUAUGUAGGGGAGACAAGCACUACAGAGGGUCUCUACAAUUCAACUAACUUAAGUAAUUAAAUUAAAUUAAAUUUAGUAUUUAAAUCUAAAAUAAUAUCAAACUUUUCACUUAAAACUAUGUAGAUGUUGAAUCUCAUUAAAAUAGAAUUUCUUUUAAAAUAAAAAUAUUUUAUUUUUAGUUAUUUAAUAUAAUAAACUUAAAAUUCCAAUUAAACUCUACUUAAAUUUAUUUAUAAGAACUAAUUUUCAUUGAACGGUUAAUUAAAAAUUUAAAAUCAUGAUUAUAUUUCUUUACAGGAUUUAUAUAAGAAAAUAAAAAUGAUGAUAAAAUAAAUUAAGUAAUACAUUACUUUUAUUUACCAUAAACUAUUUAUGUUAUGCAACUUUUACUCUAUAAUUCAUUUUUAUUGAAACCCUUAUUAUAUAUUAGUUAAAAAAAUACCCAUUAUAAAAAAGAAAAAAAAAGUGAAAUAAAAAUUAGAAAGAAAAAUAGAAGGAAAGAAAAUAGCUAAUAUAAUUUUGUUUUGUUUCCCAUCCAUAAAAAUUUUGAGAGAAAUAAUUUAAAUUAAUUAAGAUAAAAGACAUAGUAGCAAAUGUGUUAGAUUUAUGAGAAUUAUACUCGGUCUUUUUAAAUUAAAAUUCAACAUCUUUUUAAAAAUAGCCUUUGUUAUAUAAAAUAAAAAUAGAAUUACAAAAUAAAGACCUUUUUAAAUUAAUUAUGUUCUUAUAAUUAAAAAUUUGAAGUUUGGACAAAGUACUCAAUAAAAUUUUGGGGCCCGUUUGAAUAUAUUUUAUAAAACUUACUUUUAAAACCCAUGUUUAAAUUAAAGAAUAAAAAAACAGUUUUCGAGUAUUUUAUAAAAAUAAAGGUGUUUAUCAAGUUGUUUAUAAAACUAAAAAACAAAAAACUUGUUUGAAUAAUUUUUUUUUUAAAUAAUUUUUUGGUUUUGUAAAAACAUUGCAAAUUCAAUUUAUAUAAUAUAAAAUUCAAGUCUUAUUAAAGAAAUGAAAAUAUUUUUUUAAUUACAAAUAAAUUAAAAAAAUAAAUAGUUUUUAAACAAAUAUGAAUAAUAAUACUAUAAAAAACAAUAAAUUUAUUUUUUUGUAAAAAAAAAAACUAUUUUAGUAUAUGUUAGAAACAUAAGAAUAUUAAAAUCAUAAUUUUUUUUUGGUUAAAAUGAAUAAUAAUAAUUUUUAAAAAUAUUUUAUUUAAAAUAAAUAAUGAAGAAAGUUUAACUUUUUUAACAUGUAAAUGAGUCUAGUUUUUCAUUUUAUGUACACACUUCGUAUUGAAUUACAAACAUAAUAUUCUAACAUGUUUUAAUUUAAUUUACAAUUAAAAAUUAUUCUUAAAAAUUAAAAAAUUCAUUAAAGAAUUUAAAUUAUUAAUCAUGUCUUACAUAAUUUAUAAUUUAUUUAACAAAAUUCAAUAUAUAUAUAUAUAUAUAUUUGUUCAUAGGAGAAACAAUAAAGUCAUGACUCAUAAUAUAUCAGUUUUGAUUCAUUAUUUUUUUAAUGAUUAACUCUAUUUUUUGAGUUCAAAUUAUUUUUAAAAAUUAUUAAACUUAUUAAUAAAUUUAAUACAAAGUGUCAUUUGAUUUCAAGUUCAUUUUUAUAGUGAGGAAAUUUAUAAAAAUAUAAUUAUGUGCAGAAAAAUAAUAAUAGAGUUAUUAUGAAUCAAUUUUUAUCCAUAAAUUUAUGGUAUUAAUGAGUUUGUUAUUUAUGUUUCAAAUUAUUUUUAAAAAUUACUAAAAUUAUAAAUGAAUUCAACAUAUUAAGUUUGGUUUAAUUUGAAACUUAUUUGUUUGGUUCGAAAAAAAAAAAAAUUAGACCAAUUGUGUCCAUAAAUUUUUGGUAUUGAUUAAUUCAAUAGAGACAUUUAAAUCAAUUAGUUCAUUUAGACCAGUUUGUGGGGGUUUCCCAUGUAAAAAUCAUGUGUCUCAUUGUUUAUAUAUUUUAUAUUUUAUAUUAUAUUUUAAUUGCCUAAAAUAAGUUAAAUUGAUUAUCCCUAUAGUCUUGCGGGGUUUUCCUAAAAGGUUCAUAUCUAUUUAUCCCUACCUAUAUUUUAUUUGAUUAGUUUAAUUGAUUUGUUGGGAUUGAUAUUGAGGUUGUUAGGGUAGUUAUCUUUGUAGUUGUGGUGAUUAUUCCUAUAACUAAUUAUUGUUAUUUUUAACAUCUCUCAAAUAUCUUUUGGAUAUUAAUAGUUGAUUUUUUUUUUUAUCCCUAAAUAUUCUUUGGAUAUCAACUAACCAUAAAAUUAAAGUUUUUAUUAGUUAAGAUUUGGGAAGAACUCCCUUUUGGAUAUCCUAAAUAUCCUUACAAUAUCUUGGGAUUUGAAAUAUUGGUUAUAAUUUAUAAAUAUUGAUUUAAAUUUUUAAAUCACCCAUUCACCCCCUCUAGGUGUUCCUUAUUGGACUUUCAAUAGCUAUAUUAAUGGUGUUCAAAGCAAUACCCAUUUUUCAAUUGGUAUCAGAGUGGGAUAAAAAACUAAUUCUUUGUCAUAUUGAUUAAAAAACAAAUUUUCAUUGCUUAUAUUGUAUAAAAAUCAAUUUAUUUAUUUUUUGCUUAUAUUGUUUAAAUAUCAAAAUUUUAUUAAUCAUAUAGAAUAAAAUUCAUUUUUUUAUUGAUUCUGUAAGUCUGAUAUGGAACAAUCCACCCUAUUUCAAUGGGAAUAAUUAUUCUCAUUGGAAAGUAUGUAUGAUGUUUUUCCCUACAAUGCAAGGCGAAAGGGUAUGAAAUUCAAUUGAAUAUGAAAGAGGGUAUGUUUUUCCUUAAUGCUCAAGGAAGAUCAACAAGAGAACUUAAGCCUAAACAUAAAUGGGACAAAGCUGUUAAUCAAGGUAUGAAGCAAAUGCUGAGCUUUAUUUAGUAUUUUUAAUAGAGUUUGUCCAGAUUUCUAAAUUAAAAAUGCUUGCUACUAGGUUUGAGAAUAUUAAGAUGCAUGAAAAUCAAACUUUUUCUUUCUUUUAUUAUAAAUUGAUUGAUAUUAUAAAUUCUUCAUUUAACCUUGGAAAACCUAGUCUAGAUUCUAAGCUAGUUAUGGUAAUAUUGAGAUAUCUUCAAGAGAGAUUUAGACCUCAAGUAACUGCCAUAGAGGAGAGUAAGGACAUCAAUUCCAUGAGAGUUGAUGAACUUGUAGGCUCUAUUCAAACAUAAGAGAUAGCCCUAUGUAGUUCCCAAAAGCUUAAAGACUUUGCCUUUAAGGCAUAUGAGGAUAAAGAAAAAAUAUUGGAAUACCAUACAAUAUAACUAGUGAUGAAUUGGCCCACAUAGCCAAAAGGAUUAAAAGGGUCAUGAAAUUCAAUAAAAGGUUCUACAAGAACUAAGAAUCUAGAAAAGGAAAAGGUUCCUCCAAAGGUAAGAAUUUUAAUGCUUUAACUAUGGAGGUCUAGGACACCAUGCUCAAGUUUGUCUUAGCCCCAAAAAUAUAAAAAAGUCUAUGUAGGCAACAUGGAGUGAUUCAGACUUUGAAGAAGUGUUUUUCAUAGCUUUUGAAGAUGUAAGGUAUGAUUCCAAUGACAUGUUAACUUUUGUUGCAUCUAUGGAACUUGUGAAUGAUAUUGAUUAUGAUAGUGAUAGUAAUGAUGAUGAAUUUAUUGAUGAAAAAAGGCCUGAAUUUUUUAAUUAUCUUGUUGUUGAGCAUGAAAGAUUAAUUAAGAGUUAUAUGAAAAAUAAUGAUGUUCUUGAAGCUCAUAAAAACAAGAUUGAUGCGCUUAAUGAUGAAAAGAUUAAUUUGCUUGAGAAAGUUCUAAGCAUCAUUCUUUCCUUGAGAAGAAUAAUGCCUUCAUUUAAGGGAUCAAGAAUAAUAAGCCUUCUUCAUCUGUGAAUGAAAAUUUUCACCUUGGAAUUAAAGUGCUUAAUGAAAUUAUUGACAAAUGCAAAACUCAUGGUGAUAAAAGAGGUUUGGGGUACAUUAACAAAGAUUAGAGUCCCUUUAAAGGAGAAAUUGUGUUUGUUAAAGGUAAGAAUGAUACCCCUAACCAAGCAAAAUCUCCUAAAAAGACAUGAAUAUGCACAAACUGUAAGAAAAUAGGACAUUCUGAAUUUAGAUGCUACACUAGGUUUCUUGAAAGGUUUGAAACUCAAUUGAAAAGACUUAUGAAUUACUUUAAUUCCCUUAAAAAUAACAUCUUGAAUAAUAGGAAAUGGAAUUAAACCAAUUAGAAACCUAAAAGUCAAGCUAGUUCCUCUAAGUCACUACCUAAGACUAAACAAAUUUAGUUGAUAAAGGAUAGGUCUAAUUGUCAAGUUUUAUUCAAUACUCUUAAAGCUAAAUCUUCUAGUGAGUGGUACCUUGAUAGUGGUUACUCUAGACACAUGAUAGGAGAUAAAUCCUCUUUACUUCUCUUGAAAACUAUGAUGGUGGGGUUGUUACUUUUGGAGAUGGAAGCCUAGCUUGAAUGAAAAGCAAUGGUAGUAUAGUUAUCCCCAGUUGUCCCAAACUAGAUAGUUGAAGGACUCAAAACAAACCUCUUAAGCAUUAGUCAAAUGUGUGACAAAGACCAUAAGGUAAAUUUUCACUAAGACUUAUACGAAGUAGUCAAUAAAGAGGGAAAAGUAGUCAUCACAUGACAUAGGACUAUGGAUAAUUGUUAGGAUAUAAAUCCUAACUUUAGAACACCUCUUAUUUGUAGUAGGGCAAAGCUUGAUUCUAAUAAGUUAUGGCAUAGAAGGCUAGGUCACAUAAACUAUAUGAACCUUGUGCAUUUAGUGAAUAAUGAAAAUUUUAGAGGUAUCCUUAGACUUAGUGAUGAACCUAAGCCCAUUUGUGGUGAGUGCAUGAAAGGCAAACAAACUAAGAGUUCACACAAAAAGGUCAAGGAGAUAAGGACCACUAGACCUUUAAACCUUCAUCACAUGGAUCUUAUGGGUCUAAUGAAAAAUAAAAGUAGAGGUGGCAAGAGAUAUGUCAUUGUAGUUGUAGUUGAUUAUUUGAGAUACUCCAUUGUGUUCUAAGGGAGAAAUCAGAGGUCAUAGAGCAUUUGAAGUUAUUAUUUAAUAGAAUACAAGUGGAAAUUGAUCAUCCAAUUGUAAGGAUUAGGAGUGAUGGAGGGAGAGAGUUCGAUAAUGUGGAUAUUGAUUUUUUUUGUGAGCCUAAUGGAAUUAAACACGAGUUUUCAACCCCUAGAACUCCUCAACAAAAUGAAGUAGCUAAAAGAAAGAAUAGAGUGCUACAAGAGAUAGGUAGGGUAAUGGUUGAUAUACAUGAUACAUUUAUGCAAUUUUAGGCAGAAGUUAUUAAUACUAUAUGUUAUACUGCCAAUAAGAUUUUUCUUAGGCUAGGAACAAAGAAGUCAUCUAUGAAUUAUGGACUAGGAGAAAACCUAACCUUGAGUAUUUUCGAACUUUUGGUAAGGAGUGUUAUAUACUCAAUGAUGGGAAGAACCUUGGUAAAUUUGAUGCCAAAUAUAAUUUAGGAAUUUUCUUAGGCUAUUCUAGUUCUAGUAAAGCCUAUAAGGUAUAUAAUCAAAAUUCACAAGUCCUCCAAGAUGAUCGGGAUAUAAUUGAUAAUUAAAUUUUAACCUAGGAAUCAAAUGGGGAUAACACUAAAGACUUGGAGACUACAAAAGACAACCCUAAUGUUAUCCCUAAAAGAAACAUUGACCCUAACAAUGAUUAAGUUGUACCUCUAGAUGACACUUCUAAAGAAAUAAGAUAUAAACAUAGAUCUAAAAUACCUAAGAACCACCCAAUCUGAAGUGUUAUAGGAAAUGUUAAUUAACAAGUGUUUACUAGGAGACAAUCAAGAUUAAAUGAGAUGGGUCUUGUAUGGUUAUACCUCCCAAUUUGAGCCAAAGAAUGUGGAGGAAGCUUGAGGAGAUGAAUCUUGGACUACUGCACUCCAAGAAGAGUUAGAUCAAUUUACUAGGAAUGAUGUGUGGUAUUUAAUCUCUAGGCCUAAAGAUAAAUAUGUCAUAGGUACAAAAUGGAUAUUCAAGAACAAACAAGAUGAAAAGGGGUUCAUUGUGAGAAACAAAGGAAGACUAGUUGCCCGAGGAUACUCACAAAUUGAGGAGAUUGAUCGAAGAGACAUUUUCACCCAUAGCUAGAUUAAAAUCAAUUAGGAUACUUUUGGUAAUAGCAUGCUCCUUGAGGAUAAAGCUUUACCAAAUGGAUGUCAAUGGUGCAUUUCUAAAUGGGGUACUUCUAAGUAAAGACGUUUAUGUUGACCAACCUAAGAGAUUUGAGGAUCCGAAAUUCCCCAAUCAUAUCUAUAAGUUAAAGAAAUCGCUUUAUGGAUUAAAGCAAACUCCUAAAUCUUGGUAUGAGAGGCUCACAACGUAUCUUUUGGAAAAAAAGUUUGAAAGAUAGAGAGUUGAUAGAACCUUAUUUAUAUAUAGGUCUAAUGAUGAGUUGUUAGUAGCUUAGAUUUAUGUUGAUGAUUUAGUUUUUGGAGCUACAUUUAAUGACCUUGACCUUAGUUUUGCCAACGAAAUGAAGAUUGAAUUUGAAAUAAGCAUGGUAGGUGAAUUAACCUUCUUCCUAGGAUUGCAGAUUAGGGAACUAAAAGAUGAAAUUUUUUUUUCUCAAUCCAAGGAUGCUAGGGAAUUAGUUAAGAAAUUCAAUUUAGAAUCCUCUAAACACUCUAGAACACCUAUGAGCACUACCACCGAGCUUAGCAAGGAGGCAUCUAGAAAGGAUGUUAAGCAAAAGCUUUAUAGAAGUAUGAUAGGUAGCUUACUUUACCUCACUAUGAGUCGUCUUAAUAUAUUUUUUAGUGUUAAGAGCUUGAGCUAGGUAUCAAGUGAACCCCAAAAAGUCACACUUAAUGUAUGUUAAAAGAAUUAUUCGUUAUAUAAAUGGGACUCUUGAUUAUGGUUUGUAGUAUCCCUAUGAUUCUUCUUUUGUGAUUGUUGAAUAUUCCGAUGCUGAUUGGGUCGAAAAUGUUGAGAAUUAAAAAAAAGCAUAUUUGGUGCUUGCUUUUUUAUUGGUGAUUGUCUUGUGGCUUGGCCUAGUAAGAAACAAAACUUUAUAUCUUUAUCUACUACCAAAGCUCAGUUUAUUGUUGCUAAGAGCUGUUGUACACAACUCCUAUAGAUAAAGUAAAUACUUAAAGACUAUGGAAUUGAGCAAAGGACCAUGAACAUACACUAUGACAAAUCUAGUGCAAUAAAUAUCUCAAAGAAUAUUGUUCUUUAUUCCAAUACUAAACACAUUGAAAUUUGUCAUCAUUUCAUUAGGGAUUUUGUUGAAGAAAAGGUUGUUUCUUUAAAGUUUGUCCACAUUGAACAUCAAUUGGUAGAUAUUCUUACCAAACUCUUGGAAUCUCUUAGGUUUGAGUGCCUUAAGAAAUCUGUGGGCAUAUGCCUAAUAGAUUGAUCAUAAUUGAUAUAGGCUUCAAAGGUGUUGAGCUAAGUGUUGAUAUCUUGUUGUUUCCUUUAGCCAUAUUUUGCUUUGGCCAUAUGAUUUUUGUUUAAUUACUUGAUAUAUUAACAUGAUCUAUAAUACCUCGAGUUUGUGAGUUGGAGAAAUAUACUAUAUCAACAAGACUUGAGGUGAAUGAACUCAUAGAUACUUGUUAAUCACUAUUGAUGUAUUAGAUUCUUGAUAAUUAAAUGUCUUUAUAUGUGAGAAUUUUAAUAUUAGUUGCAUCAUGUACUUGAUCAAGAGGAAGAAUUCUUAAGUUGAACUCAUAAAGAAAACUUUGAUUACUUUGGAAGGAUCCAUUGUUAUGCUCAAAUAUUAUUAUCCACAUACCUUGUUUGACUAUGAUCAUUAUUUGUUUCCCAAAAUGAGUCAAUACAAAAUAUUGAAUCUUUGGUUAAGCAUAACUCUCGUACUCUUCUCCAAUUAUUCUCUUAAAGGCAUGUUGCUCACUUGUAACAUUUGGAAACAACCCCAAAGUGGAUAUAAAGGCAACCAUGAAUGAAUAUAAAAAGAAAAAUCAAUUGAUCAUGGUUUAUAAUGCCUCCACUUUCAAAAGAAAAAGAAAAAGAAAAUAAAACAAAAAGAUAUCAAAAUUUAAAGGGGAGUCAUGUUGUGUUUUACAUAGAUCAAUAAGGUUGUAUUAAAUAGAAAUUCAACAAUCUUAGUUCAAAUUGAUUGGAUAUGUUCUUUAAUUCGACCAAAGGCAUGACUGGAUUUCUUCUAAGUGAACAAUUUUGAAAUAUUAAACUAGAUAGUAAGUCGUAUUCCUUUAAACAUCAAUGCUUAUGUUUCUAUGUUGACUCUCUUAUACGUUGAUGGUUAUGCAUUAGGUUUUCAAAACUAAUAUUAUGAUUAACUCUAACCUAUGAACUUAAAACCUCAUUUUUUAUGGACUAAUGUGUACUAUCUGAAAUAACUUACUUAAGUUAUUAUUGAUCAAUCUAAUGUUGAGAGUUUAUAAAUUUAAUUAUUUGCUCUUUUUAGUUUAUUGUUAAAUUUUUUGUUUCAAUUGGUGUCUAUCAUUGUCUCUAAAUUAGUUAGUUGAGUUUUCUAUCCCUAUUAGAAUUGAAAUUAAGCUCUGACCACUCAAGAGCUGCAUCCAACACUCAAGCCUCAUCCAGUGGUUGUAUUGCUCAAACGUUCUAAGUUACAUCCAACGAGACAUCCAUCAAGUGUCUCACUUAAGUGUUAAUCUACAUCCAAUGGUACGUCUGGUUAUAAAAACCCAUCUAGCACACCUUUUUUUUACAUUUCAAACAUUUUUCUAUUCUUUCAAGCAUUAUGAGACUCUGUCUCUUUGACAUUUGAAAUUAGUUUUCUUCGUUUUUUGUGUUUUCAACUUUAUAGUAUUGUUCCACACUUCAUUUAGGACAUUUCUAGCGGUUUACAUUUUCUUCGUACUUUUCUAUCAUUCUACUAGUUAUGUCUAACCGUAGGUGUUAGCAAGAGGUGACUCCUCUUGGGUCACCUAAGCCCAUUCAUUGCAUUGCUCUUCAAGGUCUUUUUAUAUUGUUUCUUCUCUCAAUAGUCUCAUGAUCAUUUCUAUGCUUAUUUUUAGAGCUGUCAUAUUGAGGUUGAGCAUUAUAUCAACCUUUGUGCCUUUCAAGAUACUUUUAUUCCUAUCAUUCUCAGAGAAAGAGGGUGGGAUCCUUAUUUACUUUACAAGGUUCAUAUUAUCCUUUGUGAUUCGCAUGUUCUAUGUGAACAUGCAUACUUUUUCUUCAAGUUGCACCUUUUAGGUAGCCACAUUUGAUUAGUCCUUUCAAAUCACCUCAUUGUCAAUCUGUCGUGUACUUGACAUGCCUAGAAUUGAUGUGUCUUUCUUUCUUCCUUCCAAAGGUUCAAUUUUUUACUCUUAGAGAUCUCCUUUCGAUUCUCGUUUCUUUAUAUGGUGCUCCUCAUGAGUUUCCUACAUAUAUUCCUCAAGUUGGCUUUUCCAAGCUAUCUUGGAUUCUUGCUACUUUCCUUAUUUAUUAUUUCUACUCUUCUUCUCAUCAUACUGAGAUUCCCUAAUCGAUUGCUCGAUUCAUCUACAUCAUCCUUUCAAGCCAACAAUUUGAUAUUAGGCAGGUCAUUAUUGAUACCAUCAUCCUCUACCAUGAUUUUUUUUCUUUCGUCGCAAUGCACUUCCUUUUGGGCUCCUCAUCUCUAGAUUGUUAAAGUAUGUUGGCUUUGAGAUUGCUACCACAUAAAGGGUCUAAGCUACUCAUGCCUUGUGGAAUGAGAGUUUUUGGGCUAAGCACUACAAUUAUGUGUAUGGUCCCAUGGCUCUUCCUAUUCCCGAUGGCCCCAAGAUAUUGCACCACACAACAAGCUACUCAAGAGGCACUUGUAAAGAAGGACGAGAUCUGAGCCAUAGAGGGAGAUGCACCUGCACCAAACAUUGUUCUUAAGACUUGCUAUAGUCAAGGUCGUGCUCUUACAUCUAAAACUUCUCAUGGAUUAUCAACUUUCACAAACCCGACUACUUAGGAGAUGUAUCUCAUGACUAGAGUGCUUUAGAGCUUGGAAUCAUAGGAUAUUCAACUCCGUGAGAUCUAGGGUCUGUUGUCCUACAUUAUUUCAUGGAUCCAUGCUCAAAGCGGUUCGAGCUACUUCCUACCCCUGCCUCCUCCCGAUGCUUAGUUAUUUUGGUAUGUGAGUUUGUUGAUAUGGAUUCCUUGUAUUCAUUUCUUAUCUUAUGUAUCCAGAAUCAAUUUUUGUUACAUAUAUGUGUUGUUCAUUUUUCUUUUUGUCUUUGUGUGCUUUCUCAUGUUUAUAUUUUAAUUACUUUUCCAUUUUGUGACAAAAAAGGGAGAAUAUUGAAUAUUUAACCCACUUAAAAAUAAAAAGGGGGAGAACAUUGAGUAUUUAAUUCAUUUAAAAAGGAGGAGCUAUAAAUAAGGAGAGGUAAGGUGUUCAUAGAAACUCCUAAUUUAAGGAAAGGUAAUAAUUUUUAAUUUUAAAUUCUUUAUUUAAUUCAUUAAUUAAAGAUAUUAAUUGAAAUAUUAGAGGAAAAUAAACCUGAGACAUUAGAGUAAACCAAAUCAACCUUAGGAAGCACAAUUAGAUAGUUUAAAAAGAUACAUAACACAAAUGUUUCUUAAAAAAUAUUAUUGUUUGAAUUGUCUCUCUCUCUAUCAUAGAAGUUUCUUCCCAUGUUUUUCACUACCUAUUUUCUAAUUGGAGAUAAACCUCUAGGCAUCAUUGUUGAUCUAUUAAGCUUUGUUUUUUUUACUUUGAUGUCACUAAAGGAAUUUGUUCCUUUUUCAUGCUUUCAUAAGGCAUCAAGCAAAACCUCCAACAAUCCUAUUUUUCUUUCAUGAUAUUAUUUUAUUUUUCACACUGCUUUAUCUUUGAUAUAGUAUUUUGUAUGUGUGCAGGUUAUAGGGUUGAAAGAUAAGCACUACAAAGCAUUGCAAAGUAUUCCCUUAGUUUAAUUUUAAUUAAGCAUUAAUGUGUGUUAUGUGAACUCUUUUAUGUGAGUUCAGGUAAUGAUCUUUUGUCUCAAAAUUCCCAAAUGGACACUGAGUCUUAUUUAUGUUGGCAAUUUUUGUUCCAAUUAAUGUUUGGUCGCUACUACAAAAAACUAAUAUAAUGACGCUUAUUAAAAGCAUCAAUAUUUAAAGAAAAAAUGGGUUAAUAUUGGUGUUUUAGGAACAAUGGCGCUUUUUAAAUAUUAUAAUGACAUUUCUAUUACUUGGUGUCUAUUCCUUGGCACUUUUUAAGAGCGUCAUGGUAGGAGUUUGUGUUAUGAACAACCUUGACACUUGUUAGAAGAGCCAUUUUAUUUUCUCCUAUAUAAAUCCCUUGUUUCUUUAAAACCCUCAAACCCUGAUAGCCAUAAAAAAAUAAAUAAAUAAAUAAAACUUAGGGCACAUACCCAUAUUGGCAACCCACCACCAUUGCCAUGCAAGGCGACUCCCCUCCCAAUGCCUUUACCUUAUGCACCACUAUCUUCCUCUCUCUUGUCCUCCAUUCAUCAUGUCAUUUCUUCAAUUCCUCUUUCUAGUCCUCCAUUCAUCACGUCAUCUCUUCGAUUACCAAAGAAAUUGCAAGAUCUUGGUGGGACUGCUUCCAACGAGCUCGAUCUCACCAAGGCUACACAAUUGUAUCAUGAGAACACUGAAAAAAUGUCUCUUUUUUGUUUUUUUUUUGUUUUUUUUUUUAUUUUCAAUUUUUUUUUAGUUUUUGAUCUGGAGAAAACAUAAAUCAUUUCUAACUAGUGUUGAUUUUUUUUUUAAAUGUUAUUUAUCAUUAUUGUUUUUUUUUCUUGAACUUGAAUUUUUCCAAAAAAUCAUUUUUUUUCAGAUUUGUACGAGAGAACAAAUCAUUUUUUUUUGUUAUGAAAACACAAAUCGUUUUACAUUUUUUUAGUUUGCUUGAUUUGGGGAAAACAUAAAUCAUUUUUAAGCGGUAUUGAUUUGUUUUUUUUUUCUGUUAUUUAUCAUUAUCAUUAUUUUUAUUUUUUAUUUUUAACUUGAAUUUUUCCAAGAAAUCAUUUUUUGGAUCUGUUAUGGAGAACAUAUAUUAAUAACAAGAUAAGAUAACAAAAAAUGAUUGAGUUGCAUUUGGCAUCUUGUAAAGGAAUGAGGUGCUUUGCUCCUAUAAUAAAGAAAAGAGAUCAUGUUCUUUGCCCUAAGCCACCCAUCAGGCCCCUUCCAUGGCAUCUCUCAUAAUUUUUUAUUUUUUAUUUUAAUUUCUCCUUGUUUGUUUUAUUUAAUUAGGAAGAACCCAUUUUUAACUGGUUGAUUUAUAAGCAUCUACAGUAAGUUUUUAACUCAAAAUCAAGGCCUCGUCUUUUGGAGGCUCAAGCAUAAUGGAGAUAUUUUAGCCUUCGAAAUUUAGAAAAGAUUGAGAAUAAUAGUGAGUGCCUCAUUUGUUAAAUAAUAAAAGUUAUCCUUGGGAUAUCUUUACUUUUCUAGAUCACUUACAUAUUUUGCACAAUGCAACCUUAAAAUUUUUGGUUUAUUUGUUAUUUUAUACAAGAUAAUUUUAAAUUACAAGGUUGCAGGUGAGAAUGGUAUAACUAACCGGCUCUUGGAGUAGUUUCUCAUCUUAAAUUGCCUCAGGCACCACCAAUUACUACAGUGCUAUUACGAAUAGGAAAUAAAUUCCCAUUUUCAUUUGGUUAGGUAGGAUGCAAUGUUUAGUGGUCAUUAGUUUGAUUAUAGCAUAAACUAAUGCUUGUUAUGGUUUUAUUUCCUUGUUUUUGUUAUCCUUUACCUUGCUUACGUCAUCACUAAUGUAAAGAUCACAUGCUACUAUGGUUUGAGUAGAACAUCUUUCUUUCUUUUCACUAAUUUUUGCUACUCUAGUUGCAAUUUCUAUUUGACAUAGAAAAAUUUGUAGACAUGUAGUUUUUAUUGGUGGAAGUUUUGAGGAUUAAAAACACAAACUUUAUUUGACACGAUUAUUUAAACUAAAUAAUUAAGAUCAGUAAAUGCAUUUAAACUAAAAACAAAUUAAGACUAAACUAGAUAGAAUAAAAAACACAAACUUUAUUUGACACGAUUCAACUAAAGAAUUAAGAUCAACAAAUGCGUUUAAACUAAAAACAAAUUAAAAUUAAACUAACUGGAAUUAAAAAUACAAACUUUAUUUGGCACGAUUAUUUAAACUAAUGAAUUAAGACCAGUGAAUGCAUUUAAAAUAAAAACAAAUUAAGACUAAACUAAAUAGAAUAAAAAACACAAACUUUAUUUGACAUGAUCAUAUAAAUUAAAAUAAACUAGCAUGGAACUAAUGAACUACAAUCACAAAAGAAGACAUCUAAUUUAAAAAAAAAUAAAAAAAAUUGUACGAAUUGAGAUUCAAAAGAAUUUAUCGCAAAGAUUAAUUAAUGUAACGAACUAAAAUCUAAACUAAAAAAUGCUUAUAGAAAAUGAAAACUAACUUGUUUUGUGUCUAAAAAAAAUGCUCUCCUGAUGAUUAAAAUGGCAGCCCGAUCCACAUCUAAAGUCUCUUACUCUCCUCCAAAAUUCUUGCACAUGUUCUCUUAGAAAAAAAAAAAAAAUUAUGCCUGUUUCUUUUAAGAGUUCCGCCAGUGUCUGGCCUUCUUUAUCUUCUCUAGGGAGAGAGUUCAACCUUAUUACCCAUAAGAAGUGGUUGCCACUAUUGAUCAAGCCAUACCAAAAUUUAGUGAGCUCAUCCUUUUUUUUAUGACCAUGAGGCUUUCAAAGCUUACAUAGAUAACAGAUUUUAACGUUUGGCGGUGAUGCCACGCUAUGCAGCUUUUGUCUUCUUCCCAUAAACUAUUGGAAGAUUGUGACAUAGUUGUUUCAGAUGCAAGCCUGGAUUUCAGGUGUUCAUGAAGAGGUUUGAUGGCAUAGGUUUUGGGUUAAUGAUUGCAUAUUUGGGAGAGGAUAGAUCAUUCUAGAUCUUCAAAUGUGUUGAUUAUGAGACCGUUGGUUCGUGCUGUUUGUGGAAACUCUUGCAAGACAAAUUGGAAAUAUGGGUCAUCCACGUUAUUGGCCCAAAAAAAACUAGGUAGGUCACGUCGUCGGAGAAAUCUUUCCAUUGUAGGGAAACUUGUUACUAGCCAAUUCAGAUCAUCAUCUUUUAAGGGGAAUUCACCAGCUUCAAUGAGUUGAUCUAAAGAGAAAUAUGCUCAGAAGGAACAAGCACUUGCAGUAUGGAAAAGAAUAAUGGGAACUCUCACUUCGUCAACAACAUCAAUAGCAAAAGUUAAGAUCCCAUCUGCUAUGAUGCAGGUCACUGGUUGGCAGGUUUUAGAACUCUGACAUCACUAAAUCAUCUUCUCCCUAAAAGGUGGUUUGGUUGUAGUUCUAAGUCCGUCGAAGCUAUCCUUGUGAUCGGUGUGCGGGUACUCCAUCGGAAGCCCAUUAUUAUUUCAAAACGGAAACCGAGAUAGCGGGUGAAUCUGUCUAGAAUACUACUGGAGUAAUAGAGAAGGCAGUGGUAAUUAGAAUUGGAAUUAAGGAAGGUGACUUGGAAUUGAAAUUAAUGCUGCCAAGGGUCACAAUGAGGUUAGAUAAAUUUCUCGAUCAAAGUUUCCAAGGUGGUUCUAAAAAGGGUAAGUAGUAUGAGUAACAAUAGACCACUAAGGAACUACUAUGGAGCACUAGAAGUGAACUUAAAGACAUGUGCUAAAGGGACAAAAUUAAGGGUCUACAAAUAUGCCUUUCUUUGGUAUAGAUCACAAGUAUAGAGAAUGUGAGUAAAAAUACGAAUAGUGAACGAAACGAAGUGAACUAUACUGAAGAGCUAUAGAAAGACUAGAAAUUUUGUCCUAGCUCAUGAAGAGGUAGGGUCAAAAGAUUGGGUUGCAAUCACAAAAAUGGAACAACUCUUGUCAUUAGCUCAAGGCUUUACAAGGAAAGAAUGACUCUGGGCCAUGGAUGAUGUGAACAACUCUAGGUCAAGGGCACGAGACCCUAAAUAUUUAGGAUGACUCUAGGUCACAUAUGAAAUAAAGGACUCUAGGUUGGGAACUCUAAGCUUUAGAUAUUAUGAAUGACUUUGGGUUGAAAGCUCGAGGCUUUAAUGCUAAGAACGACUCUAGGUCACAAAUAAGAAGGACGACUCUAGGUCAUGAGCUCAAGGCUCUAAAUGGGAAGAAUGACUCUAGGUCAUAAAUAAGAAGAACAACUCUAGGUCGUGAGCUUAGGGCUCUAAAUGGAAAGAAUGACUCUAGGUCAUAAAUAAGAAGAACAACUCUAGGUCGUGAGAUUAGGGCUCUAAAUGAAAAGAAUUACUUUGGGUCAUAAAUAAGAAGAACGAUUCUAGGUUGUGAGCUUAGGGCUCUAAAUGGAAAUAAUGACUCUGGAUCAUAAAUAAGAAGAACAACUCUGGGUCAUGAGCUCAAGGCUCUAAAUGAAAAGAAUGACUCUGGGUCAUAAAUAAGAAGAAUGACUCUAGGUUGUGAGCUUAGGGCUCUAAAUGGAAAGAAUGAAUCUAGGUCAUAAAUAAGAAGAAUGACUCUAGGUCGUGAGCUCAAGGCUCUAAAUAGAAAGAAUGACUCUGGGUCAUAAAUAAGAAGAACAACUCUAGGUCGUGAGCUUAGGGCUCUAAAUGGAUAGCCGAUUAGGAUGCUUUCCAGCUCAUGGUGUUGGGUCAAGGCCACUCGCAAGUGGCUAGAAUGAUGAAAAUGAAACAUCUUAGGGAUGUAAAGGAAGUAAACGACUCUAGGUCGUGAGCCUAGGGCUCGGUAUGCUACGAAUGACUCUGGGUCAUGAUGCAAUGAGUAACUCAGGGUUAUGAUGAAUAGCUCAAGGCUAUGGAUGGAAUUAAUGACUCUAGGUCAUGAUGCAAUGAGUAACUCAGGGUUACGAUGAAUAACUCAAGGCUAUGGAUGGAAUGAAUGACUCUGGGUGAUGAUGCAGUGAGUAACUCAGGGUUACGAUGAAUAGCUCAGGGUUAUGAGCUUCGAGCUCUAUGACUGAUCGGCUAGAAGAAGAGUGCAAUAUGCAAACUUCAGGUUAAACCACUCAUGGGCAACCAAAUGAUGAAGGCUCAGCUCAGGGCUGGAAAGACUCCGGGUCUUAAGGAAAUGAUAGCUCAAGGCUACCAGGCUUAGGGCCUAGAAAGAACGGAUAGCUCAGGGCCUAUAAGACUCAAGAUCUAUAAGGAAUGGCUAGCUCUGAGCUAGGAGACUUAGGGCCUAAAAAGAGAUGGAUAUCUCAAGGCUAAAGAUAAACGGGUAGCUCAAGGCUACGAGGUUUAGGGCUUAGAAGAAACAAAUAAAGAAGACCAACUUGAAAGUGGAUAGGAAGUAAAUGGGCUCAAAGCUGUAUACUCAAAAUGCUAAGGGUCGAACUACUGAACUUAGGAAGGGAAAUAUGCCCUAGUAUCUAAGGUGUUCGCACUACUGAAACAUCCAAUAAAUUAAUCAUCCGUUGAAAUCAAUGGGUCAAGAACCAAUACAUCAUGACAGACCUCUGAAAAUCUAGACUGAAAUAAGUCUCUAUGUUUGAAAAGUUGCUCUAUCAACAAAUCUCAAAAGGUAAAUCUCAAAGUGCACAAAAUACUACUCAUAUGGAUAAUCCAAUCUGCAAGGUAAUAAUGAUGAAAACAAAUCUAUCUCAUGAACAUUUGGCUAAAGGAUCCACCCAUGCUUCUCGGGUGAAACCUGAUGUGAUCCAUCUCUAUUUCAACAAAUCCAUGUAGGGAGGUCCUGAUACAGUCAAUCGUCGGAAGCUCCAAACUAGUACUCAAUCUAAAACCUAGUUGACCACUGUCUUAAUCUCAAGGACACUAAAAGAAAGUGGGGAAAUAUGCCCCAGUAUAAGAUCUGAUGUCAAAGUCAUGAGGUAAAUAUUCAACACUAAUCAUCUCUCCUCAUACCACUACAUAAGCAAAAUCUCACCAAGGAGAAGGGAAUAUGCCCCAAUAUGAUAUCUGAUGUCGAAGUCGUGAGGUAAACGACCAACAAUGAUCAUCCAUCUAUGUAGCGCUGCCUCAACACAAUCUCAUCAAGGAGAGGGGAAUAUGCCUCAGUAUGGAUAUCUAAUGUACAAUAAAGAAUCUGUCAAAAUCAAUCAAACAUCUCUAUAACCAUAAAUAGGGAUAGUCAUACCGUUCAACAACAACUAGGAACCUCAAAGAAAAUGGGAAAUAUGCCCUAGUGUGGAUAUCUAAUGCACAACAAAAGGAUCCAACGUCACUAAUCAACUAUCUCUAGCUCAACAAUAAUAUGCUAAGAAGUUAGAAUGAAGUAUCAACCAAUGCCUCAAGGGAAACACUCUAAAUCUAAUCUCAAAGGAAUAAUCAAAAUGAUGAGGAAUGUGAUAAUCUCAAGAGUAGAAGCAUGUCUCUGAUGAAUCCUUGACUGAUUCUAACAUGAAUCUGGUAACCUCGAAAUAGGAAAAUAUGCCCCAGUAUACAAGAUCUAUACACUGCACUGAAAAUUGUCCCCAACUCAAUAACAAUCCACUAGUCUAUCUCAGAAAUACUCCACAAACGAAACCUAGAAUCAUGAAAAUCGUCAAUGAGCUACACUAGAGUUGAUAUCAUCUCAACAUACUCCACUUGAGAUCUCAGAUCAAUGAAAAUGCACAGGCUCAAAGAAAGUGCUCCACUAGGGGCUCAUCUCAACCAAAUGAAAGGGGAAUAUGAUAUGGAUAUCUGAUGUAUAAUAGAAUGGGAAGCUAGACAAUAUCAAAUAUCAUCCAUAAAAUGAAGCAAUCAUCCACAUCCAUCACUUAAUCACCUCCAAGCAUCAAAGAAGCAUUUCCCAAAAAAAAAAAAAACAAGAUGAUGUCUAUACAUCAACCAAAUCCCAAACACCAACCUAAGUAGAGUUUGUCAAAGAAAGCAUCUGAUCUCAUGGUCUCAAGGUGGACUUAAGACAUGGGACGUAACAUAGGUCAGGGUGAUAGGGUGAAAGAAAUGAAGGAAAACUAGGCUCAAAUAUUCAAUGAUCAAAUCCAUACCCUCAUGUAUAGUGUAAUGCAUAGAAAAAUCUCAUGAACCAUGGACCUAAAGGUAACUAGAGGGAAUGAAAGAUGUGAAUGAUGUGAAGAAGAUAUUGAAUCAAUACUGUGUAUCAAUGUGUAGGAAAUGGAUAAAAGGUGGAACGAAGAUCUAGAAAGAAGUGACGGGAUACAAAAAAAAACAAUGAGAAAGUGGAAUGAAUGAUGAUCAACCCAUAUUAGUACAAUAAAGGAAAGUCAUAUCACCAAUGAUGGAAUGGUGGAUAAGACAAUGAUCCGGAGACCCUAGGAAAAAGGUUACUCAUCCCUCAUACCUAAUACAUAUCAACCAUGAUCCAAGAAGCAUAGGAUCUCAUAGAACUCUCACAUGAACCCUCGACACUCCAAAUGCAUAACAAAAGUAGCUCAAGGAGUGAAAACUCAUAUAAAAAUCUCACAAAAACCCACAAUGACAAAUAUACCCAAUAAACAGACCUCAAAAUGUGACAUAAGUGCCCAAUGGAGCAAGAUACCAUACACAAACAUAUCAUUACGCUUUUUCUUUCUUUUUUGUUUUUGUUUUGUUUUGUUUUGUUGAAUGUGCAUGCUCUGAUUAUCAAUAAAUCGAACUCCAGUGGGAAAGAUGUAAGGAAUGAACAAACUCUCUCAAAUCACUGAUGAAUACAUGAACCCCAUCCCAUGAGACAACCUCUCAGACUAAAAUCUCUGAAUCAAUGCCAAAUGAUGGGAUGAAUGGAGUGAUAUGACUGUCCACUUUGCACUAAGAUGUGAAUAAUCAUCAACCCAAGGAAAAGAAGAGACAAGGUGAAGCAAAUAAUGAUGAAAACAAGAAAAAGAAUGAAAAUGUGAUGAUAGUAAAAUAGAACAAAUAAGGUGAUAUGAAGAUGAUAACAAGAAUGAGAAAAUAGACCUAGAGGUCUAAAGCUCAUGAGACUUUCCUAGCAAAGCAUACAUAUACAUCAAAGGGCCCCAAACCCGAGUGUAGAAAUGGUAAUCAAGGCUAUAAGAAAUAAAAAAAGGCUUUAACGUACCAUGUGAGGCUCAAUGGGCUAGCAACGGUCUAAUAUAUAGAUAGAUGUGAUAAAGUGUAAGGCUAACCGAAAUGAUGGCCACCUAUCCUAUGACCAUGGUCUCAAAUGUAAUGCUUCUUCAACUGAUCCACAUUGAAAGGGUCUAAGAAUUGAUUUUUAUCUAGAUAUGUCAAUCAUAUUUCCUCUCUAGGGUCAACUCUCUAAUGACAUGUGUUGUACUCUAAGUAAGUCCCUAGGGUCUCCUGGAAUAGAUGAAUCUCCAUGACCAUAACUGGACUAACAUCGUCCCUAAACAUAUCAUCAACAUAAGCGGGAUGCCCCAACAUAAAUAAACUAAAUCUCUUCUAAACUCUCAAUGAUGAAAAUCUCAAGCAUAUCAAGAGAGUGAACUAUCUCUGGCUAAUCUGUGCUAACCAUCUAACCAUCAUCCAAUACCUCUAUCUCAGGCUCAUCAUGAAAAAAAAAACCCAUGUCAAUCAAAUCUUCCAUCUUAUAGAAAAACUAACAUCCUCUAUAAGAACUCUCAUCUGGUAGACUUUGACCCAUAAUCCACUAAACUCAUCAUAUGUAUGAUGUCACCCUCAACAAUGUCACUGGCUAACUAGGUGGUGGGGGCGGGCGGUAAUGAAUCAAACGACAUCUCAUCUUGAAUUGGAUGUUAUCUAUCUCACUGUCCAUCAAUCCUCUGGCUCAAACCUGCUAAUACCUCCUGAAUAAAGUCAUGGUGAUUGUAAGUCAAUCAACUGUAACAUGCUAAAGAUCCACACUUGAUUUCUUUGAAACCCUGAUCAAUAUAUGUCCAACUCUAAUCUAAUAAGUUGAAUCCAAACCAAAACGAAUAACACUCCUAUAAGGUACAAAAGCACGAAAAGAUAAAUGAAUGAAGCUCAAAAAUGGUGGAAACGCACUAAUCAAAAUGAAAAAAUGUGGACUAACUAAAACUUAAACAUGUACUAAUCUCUGAGCACACCAAAAGGAGACCAUGAAGAGAAUAACUUAACCUAAUUGUGACCAAGGCAGCUCUCAAGGUCCAUAGAUGCACCCACGUGUAGAAGUGAAAUCUUAAUUGGGUCUAGGCUAACCUACAAGGUUUAUGUGUCUCUAUAAGAUAAAGUGGGUGGCUUAAAGGAUCCCUAGCAGAAGCGAUCGUACCCUCCGGCGGUACGCAACCCUCUACACGCCUCUAAAGAGACGGGGUGCUUCCAUGCAAGGUGGUCAUCACCUCCACACAUGCACUUCUUCGCUUUCCCAGGGGGUUUCUUAAUGGUGAAGGCUCUCCCAUCUCUCAACACCCAAGGAUAAUCUAAAGUGCAUAGUGAAGGAUGUGGGUGCAUCCAAAAAUACCUAAGAUCUAAAGUGAGAUAGUGAACAAAGACAAGCAAUCAUACAAUCAUGUAGGGGAAAAAGUUGUCAUGCAACAAGCAUUCAUCUGAAGCAGAUAAAUAUCAAACAAACAAAGUCCUAUCUAACAUAUGUGAGAGUGAAUCAUGCGAAAGUGAGUAAGCAAUCAGGUGAUCAUUCAAGGUACUCAAACAUGUUAAGAUAGCAAACCAAACAAGAAGCAAAUCGAAUCACCUUUGCCUAAAACAAGUGAGUACCCUCUGAUCGACCAAUUAAACACCACAUUUUCCUCAACUAGUGUUCAAGCUUGAUCCUCAAAAUUCCCCAAUGGAGUCGCCAAGUUGUGGACUCGCAUUUUUCACGUGCGUCCCCACUCGAUUGGCAAGACUCGCUUUUAUUUGUGAAAAAUUAAUUUUUGGAAAAGUCGGAGUCGCCACUUAUUUUAUUUUUAUUUUAAAGGAAAAAUAAAAUUAGAAAUAAAACCUUAAAAUAUGACUCCAUAGUUUUUGGCAAAGCGUGUCUUUAAAAAACCCGAGUCUAGGUCCGGGGAUCAGGUUACUUAUUGGGAAGGUAUAUCUAGGAGGUAGCACGCCUCUAAGGCCUAUAAAGGUCUCUAUUGACUAAGUUGAGGGAAAUGUGACAAUUAAUUGAUUAAUUGAGGGUACUUAGGUAGACUAAGGUGAUUUAAAAAAAAUAGCAUGCCAAACAAGAUCAAAUCACAAUAAAUAAAAGUUAGGAUGCAUACCCGAACUGCUUCUUAAGCGCCAUCACAAACAAUCAAAGGUUGGUUUAAAUAGUAUAUCGCCCAACAUGCCCUUUAUGAAAAAUAAUCGCACAAUGAAGCAUAUAUAUCAAGGCACCUAAGCACUAUCAAACAUAGGCAUAGUUCACAGUGACAAUCAUAUUUAUAGAAUUUAGAAGGUAGGUAAUAGGGGGCGUACCUAGAUAGCAUAGACAACUCAUAAUACGCUUCCUCAGGACAUGGGGGGUUAGAUAAUAAAUAAUAAAAUAAGAAAUCUUAACGUGCUUAUCUAAUUAGUAUAGCAAAAAUGACCACAGUAUAGAAAACAAUCAAUUAUCACUUAUAUCUUAUAUAUAAUUCUUAAAAAAUAAAUAGACAUGAUUAUAAUAAAUAGCAAGGGUGGUAGCAAAAAUAAGUUUUGAAACGAUUUUCUUAUGUAGGGUUUCACCAAUUCCCCAAUCAAUAUACACGAAUUUAGCCUAGAAUUAUCUCAUUUAUUUGGGACCACAAGUUUUGAUUCAUGUUUUAUUCAAAACCAAAAUUUUUAUUGAAAACUGAGAAUGAUGCAAACCGAUCAAGAUACGGUUGCAUAUUAUUAUUAUUAUUAUUAUUAUUAUUUAAAAAAAAAGAUUUUGAUUCUAAAGACUCUAAAUGAAUUUUUUUUAAAUAUAUUUUCAAAGGGAUCUUUUGAGAAAAGUAUUUUAUUUUAAAAUAAAAGAAAUUAAUUUUUAAAAUAGAAAAAAACAUUGAAAACAAACUACCAACCAAAACAAAAGAAAACGAAAAUCACAAAAUAAAGAUUUAAACAAUCAUGUCAAUUACAGUGGUGAGAGUAGGGCCAACCUUCAUGGGUUUCUAGUGGCCUUAAAAAAAAGGGAUUUGACCAACAAUCGCUAAGGCAACAGACUAAUGACUUUUAAUUCAAGCAAGCUAACAAAAAUAUUAUCCAAUACUAAUAUCUAGAUUUCAAGAAACACAUGAAUUAAGAUAAGAAAAACCGAUCAAGGAUUAAAGUCAACAAACUUAGCAUAUGGAGAUAAUAAUGUGGGAUUAAUUAAGGUAAAUUAACAUUCUAACAAAAUAUGAUAAAUCAAAACCAAAAUUUAGCAAUCUUGAAAAUAUGAAAACAAUAACAUGCAAUUAACUAGAUUGAUUAUCUAAAAUUCCUAAAAACUCGAACUAAAUAUUAAUAGAUCAAUACCAAAAUAUGCCAUACUCAAAAUAUGAAAAAUAAUAACAUAUGAUUUACUAAAUUAAUUAACCAAAACUCUAAUAAACUAAAACUAAAUAUUGACGAAUCAAAAUUAAAAUUGUCAUACUUAAGACAUGAAAAUAACAACACGUGAUUAACUAAAUUAACUAAAAUUAUAGUCAACUUCAAAAUUGGAUAUAAAUGGAUUAAAUCAAGAUUAACAGAAUCAAAAAACACACAAACACAUUCAAACUAAAAAAUAAUUAAUAGAUUAAAUUAGAAUUAAAAACAUCAACAUUAUCUAAUAAGAUUGGCUAAACUAUCAAAUUGAAAUUGCAAAUAUAUUUGAACUAGAACAAAUAAAUAAAUCAGCAAAUUAAAACUAAACUAAAAUCAGAAUUAAAAAAAAUAUGGAAUUCAUCUAAGAGGAUUAAUCAAAUAAUUGAAUUAAAAUCAUAAACGCAUUCAAAUUAUAAAAUAUUAAAAUUAAACUAAAUUGAAAUUAAGCUCCAUCUAAUAAGAUUAUUUAUGAUGAAUUAAAAUCAACAAAUACAUUUAAGCUAAAAAUAGAUUAAAACCAAACCAACUAGGAUUAAAAACACAAACUUUAUUUGGCACGAUUAUUUAAACUAAUGAAUUAAGUUCAGUAAAUGCAUUUAAACUAAAAACAAAUUAAGACUAAACUAGAUAGAAUAAAAAACACAAACAUUAUUUGACACAAUUAUUUGAAUUAAAGAAUUAAGAUCAACAAAUGCAUUUAAACUAAAAACAAAUUAAAAUUAAACUAACUAGAAUUAAAAACACAAACUUUAUUUGGCACGAUUAUUUAAAUUAAUGAAUUAAGAUCAAUAAAUGCAUUUAAACUAAAAACAAAUUAAGACUAAACUAAAUAGAAUAAAAAACACAAACUUUAUUUGACAUGAUCAUAUAGAUUAAAAUAAACUAGCUUGGUAAUGAACUACAAUCACAAAAGAAGACAUCUAAUUUUUAAAAAAUAAAAAAAUUAUACGAACUGAGAUUCAAAAGAAUUUAUUGCAAAGAUUAAUUAAACUAACGAACUAAAAUCUAAACUAAAAAAAUGCUUAUCGAAAACGAAAACUAACCUGUGUUGUGUCUGAAAAAAAGAAUACUCUCUUGAUGAUUAAAAUGGCAGCCCGAUCCCCGUCCGAAGUUAGUGAGCUCAUUCUUUUUUUAUGACCACAAGGCUUCCGAAGCUUACAUAGAUAACAUAUUUUAACGGUUGGCGGUGAUGCCAUGCUAUGCAGCUUUUGUCUUCUUCCCAUAAACUGUUGGAAGAUUGUGACAGUUAUUUCAGAUGCAAGCCUGGAUUUCCAGUGUUCAUGAAGAGGUCUGAUGGCAUAGGUUUUGGGUCAAUGAUUGAGUAUUUAGGAGAGGAUAGGUCAUUCUAGAUCUUCAAAUGUGUUGAGUAUGAGACCGUUGGUUUGUGCUGUUUGUGGAAGCUCUUUCAGGACAAAUUGGAAAUAUGGGUCAUCCACGUUAUUGGCCCAGAAAAAAAAAACUGGGUACGUCACGUCGUCAGAGAAAUCUUUCCAUUGCAGGCAAAUUGGUUACUAGCCGAUCCAGAUCAUCAUCUUUUAAGGGGAAUUUGCCAGCUUCAAUGAGUUGAUCUAAAGAGAAAUAUGCUCAAAAGGAACAAGCACUUGUAGUACGGAAAAUAAUAAUGGGAACUCUCACUUCGUCAACAAUAUCAAUAGCAAAAGUUAGGAUCCCAUCUACUAUGAUGCAGGUCACCAGUGGGCAAGUUUUAGAACUCUGACAUCACAAAAUCAUCUUCUUCCUGAAAUGUGGUUUGGUUGUAGUUCUGAGUCCGUCGAAGCUAUCCUUGUGGUCGGUGUGCGGGUACUCCAUCGGAAGCCCAUUAUUGUUUCAAAACGGAAGCCGAGAUAGUGGGUGAAUCUAUCUAGAAUACUACUGGAGUAACAGAAAAGACAAUGGUAAUUGGAAUUGGAAUUAAGGAAGGUGACUUGGAGGCCUCCAAGGUAGAGAAGUUCGGUGAGUUUAAGCAUGGCGCUGAGGUAGCCUUGAACCGGAAAAAUGGAAGAUGAGGACCUGGGGAGAGUUCAUUCAUCAUGCGGCUACCAUAUCUUGUCCCUUCAUGUGGAGUGUGUGUUGUUCAUCUUCAAAGUGGCAACCCCCUCUUUUCCUUGGUCAUGAUAUGCCCUUUUCUAUAUGCAGCUCGGAUUCCUUCUUAAAGCCAUGAUCUACCCGCUUUCUAUAUGCAGCCCGGAUUCCUUCUUAAAGCCGUGAUUUGCCCACUUUCUAUAUAUAGCCCGGAUUCCUUCCAAGUUUCCCUAUUUGGCCGUGAUCUCCUCUCAUUUUUUUAACAAUAUAAAACUCCUUUCCAUAUUGUGUUGAAUAUAAAAAUAAUGCAACAGAAAAUAAUGAAAAAUGGAUGCAAUCAAGAAUCGAAAUCAAGUCCAAACAAAUGUCCAAAAUGACCUAUUUUGAAAAAAAUUGCCUAAGUGACCUAGGGUGAAUGUGUGCAAGCUGGAAGGUGCCUAGGUGAACCUAGAUGAGUCUAACCUAAAGUGAAAAUUAAGGCUGCCAAGGGUCACAAUGGGGUUAGAUAAAUCUCUCAAUCAGAGUCUUCGAGAUGGCUCUCAAAAAGGUAAGUAGUAUGAGUAACAAUGGGCCACCAAGGAACUACUGUGGAACACUAGAACUAAACUUAAAAACAUGUGCUAAAGGGACAAAAUUGAGGGUCUACAUUCUAACAGAAGAACAAGCCAUUUCCUUAGAUAGAUCUGAACAUGGUUUAACAAAUUAUUUUAGAACAACAAUGAAACAAAAUCGUCUGUUUGAAAUUCUUGACAACCAAGUUGUAAAUGAAGGACAGAAUGAGGAGAUUUUUGCUGUUGAAAUAGUCCUCCCACAGUUGGGUAGAUUUCAAGAGUCGUUUUAUAUUCAGAAGACAAGGAUUCAAGAGCAUUCGUUGCAGCAACAAACAUGCCAAGACUAUUGCUUGGUAAGUGAAAGAUCCCAUUCCUAUACAUUUGGUCCAGUUACAGAAGAAAUAGUUCAAGAUGAUGAGGUCUUGUUUUCUUAAAGUUUGGGUUGAAUACUAGGCAGUUUUUUCAACCCAUAUGUGUCAGGAUGUUGGAAAGUUAGACUCGUUUAGAAAGUUUCAAAUAAUUAGAAUUAAAUUUGGUCCCUAAAAGUCAUAAAGGAUAUUUUAUUUUGAGUGGUUGUUUUAGUUUCUAUUUUUGAGUAACUAAGUUCUAUAAAGGUUUCUAAAUUUUGUUAUUAGCAGUUUAUAUUUUGUUGAGUUUAAGUGUUUGUAAAUAAGAAAUCAAAUCAUGUAAUAUUUGAAUAAGAGAGUGGUGGAAGGCAUUAAAUUUUAAAUUCUCAAUUUUUAUUUCCAUUUAUAAAUUGUUUGUGUAUUUCUUUCAACCUUAUUACUUCAAUAAGUUGCUAUUAGAGCCAUAUGAAAAAAAACAACAAGUAGGAUGCAUUUGUUUCAAGUUCCCCAAGUCAACAAAAACAAUGAUGGUAAUUAGACUUAGGAUGAAGGUUUUGCUUGGGUCACAAGAUGCAUGAGAAAUUUCAAAGGAAGGCUAUAAAUUUUUUGAGAGAUACAAGGAAGAAAACUCUUACUAUCAUCUAUCAAACAAUGGAUGAAGGUAUUUUUUAGAAGAUUUCUAGUGUAACCACCUUCAAGGAAGCCUAUGAGAUAUUAUGAAGUACAUAUGAAAGAGUUGAUAAGGUAUGAAAACUUCGUCUUCAAACUCAAAGAGAGAAUUUGAAGGCUUGAAUAUAAAAAAAUUGGAAUCAAUCUUUGAUUAUUUUUAUUGAGUAUUGGUUGUUGGGCUUUGUGGAGCCUAGUUUUGUUUGAUCCGGUUUGACGGCCCGACCCGAAUAAUAUUGCAUGGUUUUUUUAAUGGGAGAUUUAUUGAGGCUUGUUGGGCCCGUUUAGCCCAUUGUGGAACCACUUUUUGUAAUUAGGGUUUUUUAGUAUGGUAGGGUUGCCAUGCUAUAUAUAUAGAGAGAAUAUUGUAGCUACCAUGUAGUACUUUGUAUUGUUCCCGGAUAAUAGUGAUAUCCCUACAACUCUGUGGACGUAGGCAAAUUGCCGAACCACGUAAAUAUUGUCUUGUGUGUGUGAUUGUUUUUUUCUUUGGUGUGUGUUUUCUCUAUUUUUUGUUUCUCACGGGUUGGGAAUUCGGUUUAAUUCCUUACAACUGGUAUCAGAGCCUAGGGUUAGGUUUGAGUGGGAGCAAUGGCAGAGGAAGCAGGAAAGGCGUCUGGAAUAGAAAAGUUUGAUGGCACAGACUUUGCGUAUUGGAGGAUGCAGAUUGAAGAUUAUCUCUAUGGGAGGAAAUUACAUCUGCCUCUUUUGGGGACAAAACCUGAGAGUAUGAAGGCUGAGGAAUGGGCACUUCUUGACAGACAGGUUCUAGGAGUUAUUAGGUUAACUCUAUCUAGGUUUGUUGCACACAAUGUUGUAAAGGAGAAGACCACAACAGAUCUGAUGAAGGCUUUGUCCGGUAUAUAUGAAAAGUCGUCCGCAAACAAUAAGGUGCAUCUGAUGAAGAAAUUGUUCAAUUUGAAGAUGGCAGAGAAUGCAUUGGUAGCACAACAUCUGAAUGAAUUUAAUACAAUCACAAAUCAAUUGUCGUCUAUAGAAAUUGAUUUUGAUGAUGAGAUUCGUGCUCUGAUCAUCUUGGCUUCUUUGCCAAACAGUUGGGAGGAAAUGAGGAUGGCAGUAAGCAAUUCUACGGGAAAGGAAAAGCUCAAGUACAAUGAUAUACGAGAUUUAAUUCUGGCUGAGGAGAUUCGCCGAAGAGAUGCAAGUGAAACCUCAGGAUCUGGUUCUGCCCUAAACCUUGAGACAAGAGGCAGAGGUAAUAACAGAAAUUCAAAUCAGGGUAGAUCAAAUUCCAGAAAUUCUAAUCGGAACAAAAGCAAAUCUAGAUCAUGCCAACAAGUACAAUGCUGGAAUUGUGGGAAAACAGGUCACUUUAAAAGGCAAUGCAAAAGCUCUAAGAAGAAGAAUGAAGAUGAUUCUGCUAAUGCUGUAACAGAAGAGGUACAGGAUGCAUUACUUCUUGCAGUAGACAGUCCACUUGAUGAUUGGGUUUUGGAUUCAGGAGCUUCGUUUCAUACCACUCCACACCGAGAAAUCAUACAAAAUUAUGUUGCAGGUGAUUUUGGUAAGGUGUAUUUGGCUGAUGGUUCAACCUUGGAUAUUGUGGGUCUGGGAGACGUCCGAAUAUCAUUGCCCAAUGGGUCUGUUUGGUUACUGGAGAAGGUUCGACAUAUUCCUGACCUGAGGAGGAAUCUGAUUUCUGUUGGACAACUUGAUGAUGAAGGACAUGCAAUACUGUUUGUUGGUGGUACUUGGAAGGUUACAAAGGAAGCUAGGGUAUUGGCUCGUGGAAAGAAGAUUGGCACUCUGUAUAUGACCUCAUGUCCAAGAGACACAAUUGCAGUUGCUGAUACAAGUACUGAUACAAGCCUAUGACACCGCAGACUUGGUCACAUGAGUGAGAAAGGGAUGAAGAUGUUGCUGUCAAAAGGAAAACUACCAGAAUUGAAGUCCAUUGAUUUUGACAUGUGUGAAAGUUGCAUCUUAGGAAAGCAAAAAAAGGUGAGCUUCUUGAAAACUGGCAGGACACCGAAGGCUGAAAAAUUGGAACUAGUACACACUGAUUUGUGGGGGCCUUCUCCGGUUGCAUCCCUAGGAGGUUCAAGGUACUACAUCACCUUUAUUGAUGACUUAAGUAGAAAGGUAUGGGUUUAUUUUCUGAAAAAUAAAUCUGAUGUAUUUGCAACUUUUAAGAAGUGGAAGGUCAUGGUUGAGACAGAAACAGGUUUGAAAGUAAAAUGUUUGAGGUCAGAUAAUGGAGGAGAGUACAUAGAUGGAGGAUUCAGUGAGUAUUGUGUUGCACAGGGAAUUAGGAUGGAGAAGACCAUUCCUGGGACACCACAGCAGAAUGGUGUGGCUGAGCGCAUGAAUAGAACUCUCAAUGAGCAUGCUAGAAGUAUGAGGUUGCAUGCUGGACUACCAAAAAAGAUUUGGGCUGAUGCUGUUAGCACUGCAGCUUACCUAAUAAAUCGAGGACCAUCAGUUCCCAUGGAGUUCAAACUUCCUGAGGAGGUUUGGAGCGGUAAAGAGGUGAAGUUUUCACAUUUAAAAGUUUUUGGUUGUGUUUCUUAUGUUCAUAUUGAUUCUGAUGCUCGUAGUAAACUUGAUGCAAAGUCAAAAAUAUGUUUUUUCAUUGGCUAUGGUGAUGAGAAAUUUGGCUAUAGGUUUUGGGAUGAACAAAACAGGAAAAUCAUCAGAAGUAGAAAUGUGAUAUUUAAUGAACAGGUUAUGUACAAGGAUAGGUCAACUGUAACGUCAGAUGUUACAGAGAUAGAUCAAAAGAAAUCUGAGUUUGUCAACUUAGAUGAAUUGACUGAAAGUACUGUCCAAAAAGGGGGUGAAAAAGAUAAGGAGAAUGUAAAUUCACAGAUAGAUUUGAGUACACCUGUAGCUGAAGUUCACAGAUCUUCCAAGAACAUUAGACCUCCGCAACGUUAUUCACCUAUUUUAAAUUAUCUCCUGUUGACUGAUGGUGGUAAGCCAAAGUGUUAUGAUGAAGCCUUGCAAUAUGAGAAUUCAAGCAAGUGGGAGUUAGCCAUGAAGGAUGAGAUGGAUUCCCUAUUGGGGAAUCAGACAUGGGAACUGACUAAAUUGCCAGUAGGAAAGAAGGCUUUGCACAACAAGUGGGUAUACAAAAUAAAGAAUGAUUGAUGGUAGCAAACGUUACAAGGCCAGAUUAGUUGUUAAAGGGUUCCAGCAGAAGGAGGGCAUUGACUACACAGAGAUAUUUUCUCCAGUUGUGAAGAUGUCAACAAUUAGACUUGUACUUGGAAUGGUGGCUGCAGAAAACUUACAUCUUGAGCAAUUAGAUGUGAAGAUAGCAUUCCUUCAUGGUGACUUGGAGGAAGACCUUUACAUGAUUCAACCAGAAGGGUUCAUUGUUCAGGGACAAGAGAAUCUAGUCUACAAACUGAGAAAGAGCUUGUAUGGCCUUAAACAAGCUCCUAGACAGUGGUACAAGAAGUUUGACAAUUUUAUGCAUAGAAUUGGGUUCAAGAGAUGUGAAGCUGAUCACUGUUGCUAUUUUAAGUCCUUUGACAAUUCUUACAUCAUAUUACUAUUGUAUGUGGAUGAUAUGCUUAUUGCAGGGUCUGACAUUGAGAAGAUUAAUAAUCUGAAGAAGCAAUUGUCCAAACAGUUUGCAAUGAAGGAUUUGGGAGCUGCAAAGCAAAUCCUUGGUAUGAGAAUCAUUAGAGACAAGGCUAAUGGUACAUUGAAGCUUUCACAGUCAGAGUAUGUGAAGAAAGUUCUCAGCAGGUUCAACAUGAAUGAAACUAAACCAGUGAGCACACCCUUGGGUAGUCAUUUCAAACUAAGCAAAGAACAGUCACCAAAGACAGAAGAAGAAAGAGACCAUAUGAGCAAGGUGCCCUAUGCCUCAGCUAUUGGCAGCUUGAUGUAUGCUAUGGUGUGUACAAGGCCAGACAUUGCACAUGCAGUGGGAGUUGUGAGCAGAUUCAUGAGUAGGCCUGCAAAGCAGCAUUGGCAGGCAGUCAAGUGGAUUUUAAGAUAUCUAAAGGGUUCAUUAGAUACAUGUCUUUGCUUCACAGGUGCAAGUUUGAAACUGCAGGGUUAUGUAGAUGCUGAUUUUGCUGGUGAUAUUGAUAGUAGAAAGAAUACUAUUGGGUUUGUUUUUACUCUAGGUGGUAUAACUAUAUCAUGGACUUCAAAUCUACAGAAGAUUGUUACUUUGUCUACUACAGAAGCUCAGUAUGUUGCAGCAACUGAAGCUGGAAAGGAGAUGAUUUGGCUACAUGGUUUCUUAGAUGAGUUGGGUAAGAAGCAGGAGUUGGGCAUUCUACACAGUGAUAGUCAGAGUGCAAUUUCUCUUGCCAAAAACUCGGCUUUUCAUUCAAAGUCGAAACAUAUACAAACAAAAUACCACUUUAUCCGUUAUCUUGUUGAGGAUAAACUGGUAAUACUUGAGAAGAUUUGUGGAUCUAAGAACCCUGCAGACAUGUUAACUAAGGGUGUCACUAUUGAGAAGUUGAAGCUGUGCGCAGCUUCAAUUGGUCUUCUAGCUUGAGGACAGGAGGAUGAGUUGUAGGGAUGAGGGAUUGUUUCUUGGAGGAUAGCGGUUUGAUGUUGGUGAUUGGACUAGUCUCCAAGUGGGAGAUUUGUUGGGCUUUGUGGAGCCUAGUUUUGUUUGAUCCGGUUUGACGACCCGACCCGAAUAAUAUUGCAUGGUUUUUUUAAUGGGAGAUUUAUUGAGGUCUGUUGGGCCCAUUUAGCCCAUUGUGGAACCACCUUUUGUAAUUAGGGUUUUUUAAUAUGGUAGGGUUGUCGUGCUAUAUAUAUAUAGAGAAUAUUGUAGCCGCCAUGUAGUACUCUGUAUUCUUCCCUGAUAAUAGUGAUAUCCCUACAACUCUGUGGACGUAGGCAAAUUGCCGAACCACGUAAAUAUUGUCUUGUGUGUGUGAUUGUUUUUUUCUUUGGCGUGUGUUUUCUCUAUUUUUUUGUUUCUCACGGGUUGGGAAUUCGGUUUAAUUCCCUAAUUGGUUAUUGUGAUUUAAAAAAAAAAAAAAUUGGAAUUUUAAAUGACUCAUGUGAUUGACAAAAAUACAUUGAUUUUAAAUUUGAAAUUUAAUUACAUUGUUGUAUCUAUUGAAAAAACUGAUGAUUCAAAUUAUAUAACAAUUGAUCAACUUAUGGGAUCAUUAAUUACAAGCCCAUGAAGAGAGAUUAAAAAUGUAUAACCAAGAAAAAUUAGAACAAGUUGUUCAAACAAAACACUAACGAGAAUUUGCUCUUUCACCCUAGGGUAAGAAAGAAUAAGAAGAAAUUAUCUUAUUAUAGAGGAAGUUGUUGUAUCUUUGUGUUGCCCAGGAUCAGGUCAAGUCUAUGUGACUAAGGCCAAAAUAAUCAAGGACAUGGUUAUGAAUGUGGCCAAGGACAAUUUAGGAAGUGACACUUUCAAUUCAUCAAAAAAAUGAAAGAGCAAGCCAAAAUUCAUAUGCCUUAAGAGGAUGUGCGAGAUGACACAACUCAAGGCAAAACAAGAAAGGAAGGUAUAUAUGAUAAAUCUCAUAUUCAAAGUUAUAACUGUUGAAUUAUGGUCAUUAUAUUUAUAAAUGUAAAAGUGUCACUAACAAUAUCAAAGGACAAGCCAAUUAUAUAUAUAUAUAUAUAUAUAUAUAUAUAUAUAUAUAUAUAUUUAAAAAAAGAUUAAGAAAAAUCUACUAUAUUGUUGGCUUUAUAAAGGAAAAAGUGAAGAGAACACAGUGUCGAGACAUGAGAGCAAACAAUCAUGUGUACGUUCAAAAUUAUAUUUGUGGAGCUCAAUGAAUUGAAAAGUAUAUUACUUUUAGAUAUGCAUUCAAAACUUCAAUAAAAGAGAACGAUAAAAUCUUAAUUUGUUUGAAAAAUAAAAAAUAAUAUUUUAAAUUUGCAUCAACUCUUAAAAAAUGGCUAUGAUAUUCAUAUGGAAAAAUGAAUGUUUCUAAAUAAAAUAUCAAUGUGACAAUUUAACUACUAAUGUACUUAUGACAAAAAAAUAGAAUGUUUUUCUUAAACAUUUAAAGAAAGGUCAUGUUACAAAUAUUUUUUUUUCCUUUUCAAAUAAGAUUGCUAGGAUCAUGGGUCUUCAAUACCAAUACUAGUAGUGGUUGAAGAUCGAGUUUCUUUUAAUUUCUUUUUAAUUAUAAUAAGGAUUAAAAUAUCCGAAAUUACGAAAAUAUUGGAUUUUAUGAAAAUAAUGAAAAAAAAUAGAUAAAAAAAUUGAUAGAAUAAAAAUUGAUCAAAAUUCAUAAAAAUGUUAUAAACAAAUUACAACAAACAAUAAAAUGAAUAAUAAUAAAUGUAUUAAAGUUUUUCUUAUAAAAGACAAUAUUAAUAGAGCAUAAUUUGUUGAAUAAAAUUACAACAUUAUACAAUUAAAAUUACUAUAGUUAUGAAAGUUUGAUUUUAAUAUUUCAUAUUUUGUAUGGAUGUAUUAAAAAGUAAAAAUAAAAAUAAAAAUUAAGGGCAUCGUAGCAUAACCAUUGAGACAAAGUCAAAACCUAAAAAAAUCGAAUGAAUCGAUAUAUAGACAAGUAAAUCCCUUAUGAAUUCUAAGGUACUGCUUUGCCCAAGUAGUUGAGGGGGCCUUCUUUUCACCCAGCAUUGACCCUUCACAUGCGCAAUAAAUAUGGAGAAACGCAGAAAUGUAGGGAAGAAAUGUAAUAUAACUGAAAAAUAGGCAUAUCGCGAUAAAAUGCGGAAUUCGAAUAUUCUCCAGAAUUUCGCCAAAAACCACGUGUUUGGGAUUGGUGGUCAUUCCGGAGGUUGCAAGUUAAAGCCCGACUUGGGCUAAGGCUUUCUAUGGCCAUGCAACAACAAGAAUGGCCAAGGGACUCCAUGUAACGCCCAAGCAUUUUCUUUUAAGGGUAAUUUAGGAAAUUGUUAUUAAUUUAAAAAAAGAAAAGAAAAAAGAAGAGGGGUAAAAGAGUAAUUUUACGAUUAAUACCCUAGGUAUAAAUAGAAAAUUCUCUUCUUCCUGUUCUUUUUUUGAAUCGUAUUCCUGUUCGCAGAGAGUUUCCAGAGAACGUGAAGUUGAGGUUAGAUUUUAAGGUUUGAAGAACAAACCUCUAUAGGUAAGUUUCUAACCCCUAGAUUAUUAUUUUAGAGUCAUUAGUUAAUUUCAAGCAUAUUAGAUAUAUUUUUGGAAAACCCCAAAUCUAGAUUAGGGUUAGAUUAUUAUUUUUUAAUUCGUUUUAAUAUCAAAUAGUGAAAAUUUAAUAUUUUGAUUUUAGUAUUUGAAUUUGGGAGAUGUUAAGUUUUAUUAGAUGAAAAAAAAAAUUCUUGGAAGGUUUCGAUUUUAGGUUAGGGUUAAUUUUCUUAAAAAAAAAAAAAAAAAAAAAGGGUGUACGUGUACUGUGCUACUGGAAGCAUGUAACCAAAAAAAAGAAAAAAAAGAAAAAAAAAAGAAAAGGGUGUGUGCCAAGAAGUGUGUGUGCCAUAUAUAUAUAUAUAUAAUGGAUCAUGAUGGCAAUGAAAAAAAAAAAAAAAAACUUGCUUUUUGGUUUGGUGUACCCGAGAUAGGUUGAGUGGCUUUGGAAUUGGUUAAUUAAAAUAAUAAUAUUUAGUUGACUAUUUGGCCCUUGUCAACGGGAUAUAAUAGUUGACCCUUGUCAACGGGAUAUAAUAGUUGACCCUUGUCAACGGGAUAUAAUAGUUAACCCUUGUUAAAAAAACAUCACUCUGGUUUAUUUGGCCCUUGUCAACGGGAUAUAAUAGUUGACUAUUCGGCCCUGUCAACGGGAUAUAAUAGUUGACCUUUACAUUUCAUGGUGGGAAUGUAAUUGAUUUGGACCCCAGCCUCUAGGGGUUUGGUUAGAGGUUACUAGUACUAGUAGUGUUUGGUUCCGUCCACCAGGAACAAUUUGAGGCUAGCCACCCAUUUGAAAAGUCCCACCUAACUGGGCAUUUGAUAUUUGAUAACCAGAGUAAUGAAAAUUGAAUGGAUUUGAUUGAAUCUUAUGUGAAAGUGUUUGAAUUUUGAAUAUAUUGGUAUUUUUUAAACUUUGAUAUUUGAUGAGAAAAAAAAAUGAUAUUUCCUAUUUGAAAUGAAAAUAUUUGAUCCAUGAACUACAUUAAUAUUCCUUACUAGGCUGUGAGCUCAUUCCCAAUUGUUGAAAAUUUUUCAGGUACUCUUAGUUCGGGUGAGGAGUGAUGGCUAGACUGAGGAAUGGUCAUCAUUAAGAUUUGACUUAGGAUUUUAUGUUGGAUUUUGUUUAACUGUUAGUUAUGUUCAUUUGAAUCAUUUGGUAUUUGGAAGUUAUUUGGAAAUUGAAUUUUGAGGAUUUUAGAUUUUGUUCCGCUACUCUGAACAGGUAUUUGGUAAUUGGUAACAUCCAGUUACAAUAUGAUUGUUUGGGUCAGAUUAUACUUUAAGCCUUGGGGUUUGAGGUGUGAAAUGACCGUCACGCCCUUGGAGUGGGUCUUGGGGUGUGACAGAGUGGUAUCAGAGCACUAGGUUGUGAUCUUGAUGGGAACUUGUUUAGUGUACCUUUGGGAAUAGAUGAGUGACAUAUUAGUUUAAGUUUCAACUUCAUCUAGUCUGAUUCCUUUUAUUCCUUACAAUUCUGAUUUGCUUAUUCGACUUCUUAGUGACUAAUUUAGUUACACCUAUUGCUUUAUAGGACACCAUGCCACCAAGGAGACCCGCAUCUUCCCAAAACAGUCAGGCUAAUGAUGAUGUACCUCCAGUUGAGGGUUUACCUCCCGUGAGUGCAGAAGGGAUCUAUAGGUAUCUUGGGACACUAGCUGGUUUAGUUGAACGCCAAGCUCGAGCUGUUGGGACUAAUGUUCAGGGACAGUCUUCAUCUUCUAGGGGUAGCUCUUUUGAUGACUUCAAGAAAUUGGGUCCUCCUUACUUUUCUGGUGCUACAGAUCCCACAGAGGCAAAGGCUUGGAUCCUUAAGAUGGAGAAAUUCUUUGGUGUCAUAGAUUGCUCUGAGGAGCAAAAAGCCUCUUAUGCAGCUUUUAUGUUAAAUAAAGAGGCAGAUCAUUGGUGGCGCAUGACUAGGAGACUUUUGGAGGAUCGGGGACCCAUAACAUGGAGACAAUGUAGGGAGGCUUUCUAUAAGAAGUAUUUCCCUGACAGUGUUAGGCGGUAGAAGGUGGGAGAGUUUAUUUGUUUGGAACAGGGGGAUAUGAUUGUGGCUCAGUAUGAGGUCAAAUUUAUAGAGUUAUCACGUUUUCCCCCACAGUUGAUUGCUAUAGAGGAGGAAAAGACAUUAAAGUUUCAAGAUGGAUUGAAGCCUUAUUUGAAGAACAAGAUAUCUAUUCUGAAGCUUGGUGUCUAUUCAAAGGUUGUUGACAGAGCCCUUAUAGCAGAGAAAGAUAAUGAGGAGCUUCAUCAUUAUAGGGAACAACAAAGGAAGCGAAAUAGGAGUGACGGUGCUCAUGGUAAUCAAGCACAGCGAAGGUCUACAUCAGGAAGAAAUCAAAAUAAAGGGAAGGCAACACAGAAUUUAGAUGGGGCUUGUCCUACUUGUGGUAAGAAACAUGGGGGUAGGCCAUGCUAUAGAGAGACUGGAGCUUGCUUUGGUUGUGGGAAGCAAGGACAUUUGAUCAAAGAUUGUUCAGAGAAUAGGAAGUUCAUCACUGGGAAGCCUAAAGAGGAAAAUAAGGAGGAUAAACAGAAACCCAAAACCCAAGGACGGGUGUUUGCUAUGACUCAUCGAGAUGCUUAGGCCACUUCUGAUGUGGUGACAGGUACUCUCCGAAUCUACACCUUAUUUGCUAGAGUCUUGAUUGAUCCUGGAUCAAUACACUCUUUUGUUUCAGUAUCUUUUGCUGGUUUGUUGGGUUUGCCUGUUGCUAGCAUGGACUUUGAUUUGAUUGUUGCUACUCCUGUGGGAGAUUCUGUUGUGGCCAAUAGAAUGCUUAGAAAUUGUAUUGUGAUGAUUGGAUAUAGGGAAAUGCCAGUUGACUUAGUACUCCUUGACCUUUAGGAUUUUGAUGUGAUUUUGGGGAUGGAUUGGUUAGCUUCCUACCAUGCCUCUGUUAACUGUUUUGAGAAAAGGGUGACGUUUAGUAUUCCUGGUCAGCCUAAGUUUAGCUUUGAAGGGAAGCAUGUGGACAGACCACUGCGUAUGAUCUCAGCCUUGCGAGCUAGUAGUUUGCUCAAGAAGGGUUGCCAAGGAUUUUUGGCGAGUGUGAUGAGUAAUGAAAGUGAUUUGAAGUUGGAAGACAUACCCAUAGUAAGAGAGUAUCCUGAUGUCUUUCCAGAGGAUUUGCCUGGCUUGCCACCAGAGAGAGAGGUGGAGUUCACCAUCAAUCUGGUACCAGGAACAGGUCCUAUGUCUAAGGCCCCAUACAGGAUGGCACCUGUGGAGCUUAAGGAGUUGAAAGUUCAGCUUUAGGAGUUAUUAGACAAGGGUUUUAUCAGGCCUAGUGUUUCACCUUGGGGAGCUCCUGUUCUAUUUGUGUAAAAGAAGGAUGGCUCAAUGAGACUUUGCAUUGACUAUAGGGAGUUGAAUAAGGUGACAGUGAGGAAUAAGUAUCCCCUUCCUCGGAUUGAUGAUUUGUUUGAUCAGCUACAAGGUGUUUGUGUGUUCUCUAAGAUAGAUCUUCGAUCGGGUUAUCACCAGUUGAGGGUUAGAGGGGAAGAUGUACCCAAGACUGCUUUUCAAACUAGGUAUGGGCACUAUGAGUUUCUUGUUAUGCCUUUUGGUUUGACUAAUGCACCUGUUGCUUUUAUGGACUUGAUGAAUAGGGUAUUCAAGCCCUAUUUAGAUCAGUUUGUGGUGGUUUUUAUAGAUGACAUCUUGGUAUACUCAAGAAGUAGAGAAAAACAUGAGGGCCAUUUGAGUAUUGUAUUACAGACCCUCAGAGAUAAGCAGUUGUAUGCUAAACUGAAGAAGUGUGAGUUUUGGUUAGACCGAAUUUCUUUCCUUGGGCAUGUGGUAAGCAAUGAUGGCAUCUCAGUUGAUCCUGGCAAGGUAGAUGUUGUAGCUAAUUGGAGAAGACCUAGUAUUGUGACUGAGAUUCGAAGUUUCUUGGGACUUGCUGGUUACUAUAGGUGGUUUAUAGAAGGAUUCUCUAAGAUUGCCCUACCUUUAUCUAAGUUGACACAGAAGGGAGUUAAGUUUGAGUGGUCUGAUGAUUGUGAAUGUAGCUUCCAAGAGUUGAAAAAUAGAUUAGUGCCAGCUCCUAUUUUGACUAUCCCUUCAGGUUCAGGAGGAUUUGUGGUGUAUAGUGAUGCCUCUCAUCAGGGUUUAGGUUGUGUUCUUAUGCAACAUGGGAGAGUUGUAGCUUAUGCUUCUAGACAGUUGAAACCUUAUGAAAGGAACUACCUUACUCAUGAUUUGGAGUUAGCUGCUGUGGUUUUUGCACUUAAGAUUUGGAGACAUUUUCUUUUUGGUGAAACUUGUGAGAUAUUCACAGAUCAUAAGAGUUUGAAGUAUCUAUUUUCCCAAAAGGAGUUGAACAUGAGACAGAGAAGAUGGAUAGAACUACUUAAGGACUAUGAUUGUAUUAUUCAGUAUCAUCCUGGGAAGGCAAAUGUUGUAGCUGAUGCCUUGAGUAGGAAGUCAGUUGGUUCUCUAGCAGCUAUUAAAGGCUGUCAAAGGCAGUUACUUGAAGAGUUGAGGAGUUUACAAGUCCACUUUCGAGUUAUGGGCUUAGGAGCACUUGUAGCAAAUUUCAGAGUACAACCAGACUUAGUUGGGAGAAUUAAGACCCUACAAAAGAAUGAUUCCCAAUUAGUGCAAGUUAUGGAGGAAGUUAAGAGGAGCAGUAAGCCUAAUUUUGUUUUGUCAGAUGAUGAGAUCUUGAGAUUUGGGACUAGAUUUUGUGUCCCAAAUGAUGAAGACAUAAGGAGGGAGCUUUUAGAGGAAGCUCAUUGUUCCAAGUUUGCAAUCCACCAAGGAGGGACAAAGAUGUACAAGGAUUUGAGGCAAAACUAUUGGUGGUCAGGUAUGAAGCGUGAUAUUGCACAAUUUGUGGNNNNNNNNNNNNNNNNNNNNNNNNNNNNNNNNNNNNNNNNNNNNNNNNNNNNNNNNNNNNNNNNNNNNNNNNNNNNNNNNNNNNNNNNNNNNNNNNNNNNGCUUCUCUUUAUGUGAAGGAGAUUGUGAGAAUGCAUGGAGUACCAGUUUUUAUAGUGUCUGACAGAGAUCCUCGUUUCACUUCUAGAUUCUGGCAUAGUCUACAAAAAGCUUUGGGCACUAAGUUGAGUUUUAGUACUGCUUUCCAUCCUCAAACUAAUGGCCAAUCAGAAAGGGUAAUUCAGGUUUUGGAAGACUUGUUGAGAGCUUGUAUUUUGGACCUGCAAGGUAAUUGGGAUGAUCAUUUGCCUUUAGUAGAGUUUGCCUAUAACAAUAGUUUUCAAGCUAGCAUUGGGAUGGCACCUUUUGAGGCAUUAUAUGGUAGGAAAUGUCGAUCUCCUAUAUGUUGGAAUGAUGUUGGAGAAAGGAAACUUUUGGGGCCUGAACUUAUGCAAUUGACUGUUGAAAAAGUUGCUUUGAUUAAAGAAAGAUUAAAAGCAGCUCAAAGUAGACAUAAGAGUUAUGCUGAUCAUCGUAGGCGAGAUUUGGAGUUUGAGGUGGGUGAUCAUGUGUUCUUGAAAGUUUCACCUAUGAAGUCUGUGAUGAGAUUUGGGAGAAAAGGAAAACUUAGUCCUCAUUUUGUGGGUCCAUUUGAAAUAUUAGAAAGAGUAGGCACUUUGGCAUAUAAAGUAGCCUUGCCCCCAAGCCUGUCUAAGGUUUAUAAUGUGUUUCAUGUUUCGACUCUAAGAAAGUAUAUUUAUGAUCCUUCUCAUGUUGUGGAGUUGGAGCCUAUUCAAAUUUUUGAGGACUUGACCUAUGAAGAGGUACCCGUUCAAAUUGUGGAUGUGAUGGAUAAGGUACUACGACAUGCUGUUGUCAAGUUGGUAAAGGUCCAGUGGAGCAAUCAUAGUAUCUGAGAGGCCACUUGGGAGUUAGAAGAAGAGAUGAGAGAAAAGCAUCCUCAAUUAUUUCAAGACUCAGGUAUGUCAAGUUUAGAGGACUAAACUUUUGUUAAGGAGGGGAGGAUGUAACGCCCAAGAAUUUUCUUUUAAGGGUAAUUUAGGAAAUUGUUAUUAAUUUUUUUAAAAAAAAAAGAGGGGUAAAAGAGUAAUUUUACAAUUAAUACCCUAGGUAUAAAUAGAAAAUUCUCUUCUUCUUGUUCUUUUUUUUAAUCGUAUUCCUGUUCGCAGAGAGUUUCCAGAGAACGUGAAGUUGAGGUCAGAUUUUAAGGUUUGAAGAACAAACCUCUAUAGGUAAGUUUCUAACCCUUAGAUUAUUAUUUUAUAGUCAUUAGUUAAUUUCAAGCAUAUUAGAUAUAUUUUUGGAAAACCCCAAAUCUAGAUUAGGGUUAUAUUAUUUUUUUUUUAAUUCGUUUUAAUAUCAAAUAGUGAAAAUUUAAUAUUUUGAUUUUAGUAUUUGAAUUUGGGAGAUCUUAAGUUUUAUUAGAUGAAAAAAAAAAAUUUCUUGGAAGGUUUCGAUUUUAGGUUAGGGUUAAUUUUAUUAAAAAAAAAAAAAAAAAGGCGUACGUGUACUGUGCUACUAGAAGCAUGGAACAAAAAAAAAAUAAAAAUAAAAGGCGUACGUGUACUGUGCUACUGGAAGCAUGGAACAAAAAAAAAAGAAAAGAAAAGGGCGUGUGCCAGGAAGUGCGCGUGACAUAUAUAUAUAUAUAUAUAUAUAUAUAUAUAUAUAUAUAUAUAUAUAUAUAUAUAUAUAUAUAUAUAUAUAUAUAAUGGAUCAUGAUGGCAAUGAAAAAAAAAAAAAACUUGCUUUUUGGUUUGGUGUACCCGAGAUAGGUUGAGUAGCUUUGGAAUUGGUUAAUUAAAAUAAUAAUAUUUAGUUUUAGAUUUAUAAUUAAGAUAAUAGUAAUAAUAGAUUUAGCAAUAUAUAUAUAUAUAUAUAUAUAUAGAAUUUUAUAAUGAAAUAAAAUUGUAAUUUAAUUAAAUUAGUAAUGUGUUAUUAGAAAUAAAUUGGGAAUUUAUUAGUUUAUUUAAAUAAGGAAUAGAUUAGUUAAAUUAUAAAUAAAUAGUAAUAAUUGUUCCUCUUAUGUUUUGUUAGGUGAAGAGUAGAUUUUUAGGAUCAUUUUUCUCCAAAGUUUUUGGAGGAUUUCUUUUGAGGUAAGGGAAGUUAAUGUAAUAUUUAUAAAAUUAAAUUAUUUUAUAUGUUAUUUUGAAUUGUGGAAAAUAAAAUGAUAUUUUGUUACCAUGCAUGGAUCAAAUUGUUUUGCAUUAAAUGUUAUGUUGGAAUAUUUUGUUUUAUUCAUGACACAAAAUAUGGAGAUAUUAUGUUGUGUAAAUUUGAAUACUUGAACAAAAAAACAUCACUCUGGUUUAUUUGGCCCUUGUUAACGGGAUAUAAUAGUUGACUAUUCGGCCCUGUCAACGGGAUAUAAUAGUUGACUAUUCGGCCCUGUCAACGGGAUAUAAUAGUUGACUAUUCGGCCCUGUCAACGGGAUAUAAUAGUUGACCUUUACAUUUCAUGGUGGGAAUGUAAUUGAUUUGGACCCCAACCUCUAGGGGUUUGGUUAGAGGUUACUAGUACUAGUAGUGUUUGGUUCCGUCCACCAGGAACAAUUUGAGGCUAGCCACCCAUUUGAAAAGUCCCACCUAACUGGGCAUUUGAUAUUUGAUAACCAGAGUAAUGAAAAUUGAAUGAAUUUGAUUGAAUCUUAUGUGAAAGUGUUUGAAUUUGAUGUGAAAAUAGUUGGUUGAAUUUUGAAUAUAUUGGUAUUUUUGAAACUCUGAUAUUUGAUGAGAAAAAAAAAAUGAUAUCUCCUAUUUGAAAUGAAAAUAUUUGAUCCAUGAACUACAUUAAUAUUCCUUAUUGGGUUGUGAGCUCAUUCCCAAUUGUUGAAAAUUUUUCAGGUACUCUUAGUUCGGGUGAGGAGUGAUGGCUAGACUGAGGAAUGGUCAUCAUUAGGAUUUGACUUAGGAUUUUAUGUUGGAUUUUGUUUAACUGUUAGUUAUGUUCAUUUGAAUCAUUUGGUAUUUGGAAAUUAUUUGGAAAUUGAAUUUUGAGGAUUUUAGAUUUUGUUCCGCUACUCUGAACAGGUAUUUGGUAAUUGGUAACAUCCAGUUACAAUAUGAUUGUUUGGGUCAGAUUAUACUUUAAGCCUUCGGGUUUGAGGUGUGAAAUGACCGUCACGCCCUUAGAGUUGGUCUUGGGGCGUGACACUCCAGCUAAAUGAAUAGGAGUGAUUAUUUUCAUGGGAGUCCAGCUAAAUAACUAGAAGCUCUUAGUUUCAUUUUCCUUUACUUUGUUAUCAAACUUAAAUAAAUAGUAAAGAGGAAUAUAUAUAUAUAUAUAAUCAGGAUGAGAUGGGUGAGAUAAUAUAAUAUCCGAACUUGUCUUGAACCCGUCCGAGGUUUUAAAAAAAUCUCAAAUCUAUGCGCUAAUUAGUUUAUUUAAAUUGCAAACUCUCCCCAUUAGGAGAGGGGUGGGUCGGGUACCCAAAAUAACAAGUCCCAUUACCAUUUCUAUACUUGAUAAAGUCAUUUUUCCUAUUUUAUAUUUUCAACAUUUUAAUUUUAUUGCAAUACUCAAAUCCAAUUUCUCAUAUAAAAUAAAAGUAUUUUAAUUUUUUUUUUUGGAUAACUCCUAACUGAAAAAUAAAAUAAGCAAUCUAAUUUUUUUUGUGGUUUAAAUGAGAAAUGAAUUUACCAUAGACUAAUAAAGUUCUCAGAAAAUAAUAAUAAUAAUACGAUUGAGACAAUGAUGAAAUUGUUGUUGUGAUAUUAUGAUGGAACCUAGCUCUCUAGAAUGGAGAGCAACCUUCCUAACCAUAUGGGUCACUUACCUACCCCUCAUUAGCAAUGGCAAUGGGGUGGGUUCAGAACGGGUUGCCCUCAUCCCAACCUCACCCUGUUUAUUCAAAACAAUUUCUAUCCCCAUCCUAUUUAAAAAAUUAAACAAGGCGAGGCAAGGCGGGUAUGAAAAAUUCCCAUACCUGCCCCACCCCAUUUACUUUUUUUAAAAUUACUUUUAAAUUUUUUAAUUAUAUUAAAAUAAAUAUAUUUUAUAAAUAAUUAAAUUAUUAUAUUUUAUAACUUAUUUUAUUAAAAAUAUUUGAUUAUUAUCUAUAUAUUAAAAAUAGUAAAAUAAAAAUUAAAUUAAAUUUAAAUUUAAAAUUAAUUUUAUAUAUAAUCGGGGCGGGACAGGGCAGGGCGGGGCAAGGUGGGGUUGGGCAAUACCCGAACCUGCUCUGAACUUGCCCUAGGUUUUUUAAAAAAUUUUGAAACCCGUCCCAAACCCGUUUAUUAAAAUUAAACCUCGUCCCAUGAGGGACAGGGCAGGGUGGGUACCCGAAAAGACCCGUCCCAUUACCAUCCGUACCCCUCAUGCAUCUAUUUGGAGAUGAUUACACAUACCUUAAUUAUUAAUUUGUCUAAGAUUUUAGCUUGAAUUAAAUCAAUUUUAAUUAUUUUAUUUUUCAAAUUCUAUUUAAGACAUUAUUACUAAUAUAAAAGCAAUAAUUAAAAAUAAAAAAUAUUUUGAAUUUUUUUUUAUUAUACAUAGGUUUAUAAUAUAUUUAUAAAGAAUAAGCCUAGAAGAUCGUAUUUAAUAUUUGUGUUCAAUUUUGAAAAAAAAUUUUAGUAUGGUUCUAAAAAUCUAUUUUUUGAGAAUUAUUUUUUAAAACGUGGGUGGAAGAGCCCGUUUUAUAUGAACGAGAAAAUAAGAGAAAUAAAAUUUAAAAAUCAUUUUUUUUUUGUUCUUUAUCCUUUUUUCCUUGAGAAGACGAAGAAGAGGCAAAAGAAUAGUAUUGGAUGGUUGAUGGCCAAUCCAUUUACAAAAGGUAGAAACCUUUGUAUGCAAGUGGAGUUAAGUCUCCUCUGGAGUGUGGAUAGGGCACCGUGAUGGGCUGUACUCUUCACUGCACAAGGCUUGACCUGGGACUAGGUCUUUUGCCCCUUCUUGACCGGCUUAACCUACUUCUCAAAAAGAGGUUGAGGGUGUUCUUUUCAUUGUAGGGACCACAACACCAGGGUCACCCAACAAUUACUUUAUUCUUUCUUCAUUCUCCCUACAUUUCUCUACUUGCAUUAUGACACAUGCAAAUGUUGUUGAAUUGUUUGGUUGAUGGUUAGUCAAAAAAUGACUCUCUGGAAUUAAAAUUUGGAUGGGAGUUAGAAAAGUCUUACUUCUUUGAUGAGUAUCCAAUGGUUCAAGCAUGGCAUCCAGAAAUAGUAAACCUUCCCAUAUUCAAAUGCUGUUGAAUUGUUUUGAGUUUGUUCAACGAAAGACAGUUGUUGCCACAGCUGUGGUCAUAAUCCAUUCAUUCAAUGAUGUUAGGAUGUAUCAAACUUUGUGUUUGGUCUAUGGUCAUGCAGAAAAAAAAAAACAGUUUUUCUUUUAAUUUUUUUUAAAAAAACGAGAGUGAUUGAUAAGAUGUUUUAAAAAAUAGUUUUUAAAAACAAAAAAACAAAAAACUUGCCAUCCUUCCAUUACUUUUCAUUCUGCUAUUAACUUCAGUGACAGCUUCAGGUCCUACUGUGGAAAAGUUUGCCCAAUGUGUCUCUCAAUUCCGAGAUUCUUAUCCCAGUACCCACUGCCUUUUACACCCCAAACACCACUUCUUUCAGCGCUAUUCUGCAGUCUUCUGCCCAUAACCUCAGGUACCCCAAGCCUGAGUUUUUAAAAACAAUAGAGAAUCUUGUUUUUAAAAAUUGUAACUUAAAAACAAUUACCAAACAUAUAAAAAUAAAUAAAUAAAUUUGUUUUCUAUUUUUUAAAACUAUAAACUGUUUUAAAAAACUCUGCCAAACAAGCUCUAAAUCUUUAUGCAUAUAGGAUUGAACUUACUUCAGAAAAUGUAAAACUUUGUUUGAACGUGUGAUUUAAAAACAGUUUUCUGUUUUUAAAAAUAUAAAAUUGUUUUUAAACAUUUAUAACACCGUUUUUUCAUUGUUUACUACAAGCAAUUUUUAAAAACAAAGUAAAAUAGAGAACAAUUUUUAGAGAACAAGUAAAAGUUGUUGCCACUAGUUUUUAAAAAUAAAAGGAAAACAUUGACCCAUUUGACCGUAUUUUCUUAAACUUGUUUUUAAAAACUAUUUUUUAUUCUUUAACUUAAAAACAAUUUUUAAAGACAAGUUUUAGAAAACAUGACCAAAUGGAUCCUAAAUCUUCAUGAAUAUAUGAUCCUCCAACAAUCCCUAAUUUCACAUCCAUAAUUUCUGUUAUUCCACUCCUAUAAUUUGUAUCAUGCUCCCAUAUUAUUAUUCUUCUCCAAUAAUCCCUAAUUCUGCUUUAUUCCACUCUAAUAAUUCCCUAAUUCGCUACAUGAGGCUUGACCCGAGACUAGCUCUUUUGCCCCUUCUUGACCGGCUUAACCCACUUCUCCAAAAGAGGUCGAGGGUGUUGUUCUCAUUUUAGGGACCACAACACCAGGUUACCCAACAAUUACUUUGUUCUUUCUUCAUUCUUCCUACAUUUCUCCAAUUGCAUUAUGACACAUUCAAAUGCUGUUGAAUUGUUUUGAGUAUAUAUAUCCAACGAGAGACAGUAGCAGCAACUCUAGUCAUAGUCAUAGGUCAUACAGAAAAUGACUUAUUUAUAGGCUUGGAACUUAUUUCUAGAAAUAUAAGUCUUCAUGUAUAUAUGAUUCUCCAACAAUUCUUAAUUUCACACCCAUAAAUUCGUUAUUCCACUCCGAUAAUUUGUAUCAUGCUCCCAUAUAAUACUAUUCUUCUCUAAUAAUUCCUAAUUCUGCUUUAAUCCACUCUAAUAUAUAUAUGUCUUAAUUUCACUUUCAAGGGCAAAGUUAUAAAUACUUUAUUCUAUUAAUUUGUACCAUGAUCUAAUUGUUUUAGUCACAUUGCUUCAUAUUUUUGUUCCAAUUAUGAGAUAUGGUGGACUUUAGGAUUUUAAUUGAGUUAAAAUAUAUUUAUUAGAUUAUUAAAAACUGGACAAAUGCUCAAACCUAAUGCUCAAGUGCUCAAACUUGGUGCUUAAGUGCUUUGAGAGCACUCAAGAAGAGGAAACUUGAGUGUUUGAAGCAUAUUUUUCCAAAUUUGAAUUCUCGAUUUUGUUUUAAGAAUUGGUUUUUGGAAACUUUAAUUACAUAUCUAUCCACUAGGGUUUCAUCCCUAUAUAAAUAUUAUGCCUAAAAAUUGUUUUCGUUAUUGAUGCAAAUUUGAAAAAGAGAUUAUUAGCCUUUACUACAUUCUAACACUCCCAAGUUUUUAUAGUUCUCAUUAUUUAGGUUCGUGAGAAAAAUAUGUAUCCUUUCAAGUAUUGAGAUAGUCUAUUGGUUGCACAUGUGUGCUGCGUUGCAAACUUGAAAACUAGUAUAUGUAUUGGUGAAAAAACUUAGGGAUAAUAUAUAUCUACUAUGUAAAUUUGUAUAUUUUUCUUUUAACAGAAGAUUUGUGUUUUACGAUCUUUAAUCCUAUUAUUUUUAUAUCUAUAUGAUCUUUGAGAGACCUUGUAAAUGGUUUUCCACAUAAAAAUCGUUGAUUUCUCUUCUUUCUUUCUAAUUAUUGAAGAAGAAUUAAAAACCAAAAUUUGUACCAAAAAAGUUAUUACAUAUUCACCCUUCUCUGUGUUUCGUAAUCAAAAUGUACAAUCUUUUAACAUGUUAUACAAUUAAUUUAUAAAACAUAGAGGAAAUUUUUUUGAGUAUAAUUAAGAUAGAGAAUUCCAAGCACAAUUAAGGUUGAUGGAUUUAGUAUGAUUUAAAGAGGAAUUAAAAAUAAAAAAAUUUCAUUAAAAAGAAGUUAAUACAUAUUCACUCCUUUUAAGUAUUUCAUAAUCAAAAUGCAUAAUCUUUUAGUAUUUCAUAGAAUUAACUUAUAAAAUAUGAAGAAGAUUUUGAGAGAAUAAUUAAGAGAGAGAGAAUUCCAAGCACAAGGUUGAUGGGUUUUUUUAGUGCAUUCAUCAUUGAGUUGUAACUAUAUCAAAGUUGUUAAAAUAAUUUAUUAAAUUAUUAAACAGGUUUCAAUCUUUUUAAAUAGGAGUGACAUUGGAAGUGAGACUACCAAGCCAAUAACCAAUGGUUUUGGACCACUUACAUAGUUCCAUGGAUGUCACUUUGGAUGGGACUGCAUUGAAGCUCUUUUCCAUCUCCUUGACCCACUUCUUCCAAGAAGGUUGUUGCCCACCGAUUACUCUCCCUUCCUCAACCAUUACUUUUGUGAACCUCAUCCUCUCCUUCACAACUACCUUUUCUUUUGGCUCUCUUGGAAAAAUGAUGCAUCUUUUUUCACUUUAUGUUUCAGUGCUUUUUGGGUACAUUGCUUCACUCCCAUGGUAUUGUCCAUCAAUUUAGUUGAUGAGUUUGCUCUUAUUGCCUUAAAAUCCCAUAUCACAUAUGAUUCCCAAGGCAUUUUAGCAACAAAUUGGUCUACCAAAAGCUCUUACUGCAAUUGGUAUGGUAUUUCUUGCAAUGCUCCUCAACAAAGAGUUUCUGCAAUCAAUCUCUCUAACAUGGGUCUUGAAGGAACUAUUGCACCACAAGUAGGCAACCUCUCGUUUCUCGUUUCCCUUGAUCUUAGUAAUAACUACUUCCAUGACUCUCUUCCGAAGGAUAGGAUAUUGGUAAGAUUCUCAUAAAUUUUGUCUACUUUAUGACAAUACUCAUAUUUCUUGCUUCAAUAUUUAAUAUCAAUAAAGGCAAUUCAUGUUUGGUUCCCAAAAAUUUAAGAAAAAAUGCGAGUAAAAAAAAUUAAAGAGGAAAAGUAAAAGAAAAUAAAAAAUAAUUUUAAAAUCAACAAAUUAUUUUUGUAUUUUGUUUUAAAUUCAUUUUACUUAUUUUUACUUUUUUCUAUAGAGAUCUAAUAAUUUGAAAAUACAAAAGUUUUAACCGAUUUUAAUUAUAAAUGAUUUUCUUCUCCAAUCUUGGGGCAUGGUUGGGAUUAUGAUGAUGUUUGUCUUUCAACAAUGAUGAAAGGAAAACAAUUAAGUUGUGAUAAAGAUAGUUGAGUACUUGAUAAAUUAUAGUUUCAAAAAUAAUAAUUAAAUAUUUGGUAAAUUGGAUUGCUAAAUUAUUGUGAUCAUGUUUGAUAUAAAAUUAAUAAUUAAAUAAAUUAUUAUACAAUUUAAAAAUUAGUUCAUUUGUUUAUCAUUUCUUUUUUUUCUUUUUUUUCUAUUUUGAAUGAAUUCAAGUAAACAUAAUCAUACUGGUUGUAAUAAUUUUUAUUUUAAAUUUUAGAAUAAGUAAUACCAAACACAAAUUAGAACAUCUUUCAUUUGAUAGAUAAUUUUAAUUAUAUAGAAAAUUUGGAUCCCAAAAAUUAAAUUAUUGAAAAGAAAACAACAUAAUUUGAGGAAAGAUGUUAUACAUUAAAAUGAAAAAAAAAUAUUUAAUAGAUAUGAAAUCAUUUCAUAUAUAUAUAUAUAUAUGUAACUUAAUUUAAUUUAAUAUAAUAUAGUUAAAGCUAUAAUAUAAUAUUUAUUUGUGACAAACAAUAGUAGAUAUUUUUGUUGUUAAUAUUCCCAAUAAAAAAUAAAAAUAAAACAUCAAUUAGCUAAUUAUAUUCUAUACUCAACAUUUGUGUUAAGUGUAUAGUUAGUUUCACAAAUUAUUUGAUAAUAUAUUAUAGAAUAAGAGACAUUAUUGUACACAAUUCAAACCAUCAUAUAGGCUACCUAAAUGUUUAGCAACCAUCAAUAUGUGAUUCAUGAUAUGUUUUCCUCCAAAUUAGUGCUAUUCAUGGCAAGUUUUACUUGCCUCUUUUAAAUAUUAUCGUUAUGGUUGAUUCCAAGAAAGUAUUAAGAAAAAAAAAUAUUAAACAAAAUAAUUUUUUAUAUCUGCUUUUACUAUGAAAAAUAUAUAAAAAAUAAAAUAUAAUUAAAAUCAAUUAAAACUUAUCUAUUUUUAAAUUAUUUAAUCUUUAUAUAGAAGAGUUAAAACAAGUGAAAUAACAUAUAAAUAAUCUAUUGAUUGUAAGUCUACUUUUUAGUUUUCUUUACUUUUUUUUUUCUAUUUUUCCUCUCUAUUUUCUUUUCCUCAUAUUUUCUUGGAAUCAAGCAAAACCUUUGACUAUGUUUGGUUUCCAAAAAAAUAUGAGGGAAAAAUAAAAUAAAAAGGAAACUUAGAAGAAAAAAAAAUGAAGAAAAAUAGAAAAUAGAUUUAAAAUUAAUAAAUUAAUUUUAUAUAUUGUUUCAAAUUCAUUUAAAAUAAAAUAAAAUAUAUUUAAAGUAAAUAAAUUGAUUUUAUUUGUUUCUUCAAAUUUAUUUACAUAUUUUAAUAUUUCUAUAUAAGAAAUUAAUAAUUUAAAAAUGCAUAAAAUUUUAAUUAAAUUUAAUUAUAUUUUAUUAUGGUUCUUAUUUUCUAUAAUAAAAUCAAUCAUGAGAAACUAAUUUUCUUUUAAUAUUUUUUUUUCUUUCUUUUAUUCUCGUAUGGAACCAAACAUAGUCUAUAUGUUGAUGAUAAUAAUAUUUCAAAUCAUUUUUUUUUAGGUAAGUGCAAGGAGCUUCAACAGCUGAAUUUAUUUAAUAAUAAAUUGGUUGGAGGCAUUCCAGAAGCCAUUUGUAAUUUAUCAAAACUUGAAGAGCUAUAUCUUGGUAAUAAUCAGUUGAUUGGUGAAAUUCCAAAGAAAAUGAAUCAUCUUCAGAAUCUGAAGGUAUUGUCAUUCCCAAUCAACAACUUAACAGGUUCCAUACCAACCACCAUUUUCAAUAUAUCUUCUUUGCUCAACAUUAGUCUCUUCAAUAAUAGUCUCUCUGGGAGUCUUCCCAUGGAUAUGUGCUAUGCCAAUUCAAAGCUCAAGGAGCUCGAUCUUUCAUCAAGUCAUUUGAAUGGAAAGAUCCCCAUUGGUUUAGGCCAAUGUAUAAAGCUUCAAGUAAUUUCCUUAGGAUAUAAUGAUUUCACAGGAAGCAUACCAAGUGGAAUAGGUAACUUGGUGAAGCUUCAGAGAUUGUUCAUCAGUCAAUGUACACUUUUUCUUUCAUCUAAAGCUUUCAAAGAUCUAUUAUUUUUCUAACCUAUUCAUUUUAAAUGUGUUGUAGGAUAAAUCCCCUCCAAUUUGUCGCAUGACUUGGGUGCAUUAAGAGUUAUACAGAAGAUCCAAGUCUUGGAUUCCUUGUAAGUAGAUGGUUUGUUCAUAACCAAUUCAUGGACCUAAACAAUUUGUUUAAGGUUGUAGUGCUCCACUUCCUAAUUAGAGGGAUGGUUAGUCUUGGUUGUUGAGAUGGGGUUCCCAUGGUAAGGGCACUAGUGUGUAUAGUUACACAUUGGACAUGACCUACAAUGAGUUAUGACAUAAGGUUAUCAGGUAGUCAUGACUUUACUAAGUUGCUAUACUGUAUAGUCUUUUAACCUUGAGAGAAGGUUAAGCUUGUAUAGAAGUUAGUAGUGGCUUUGGUCUAUGGGUGAGAUCAUAAGUUGAUUAUAUAUUCCCUAUGGAUUAGGUUAUUAUUAAUGAAAGUUGGUAGCAAAAGGUAUUCUCAAAAGAGGUGCCAUGAUAUCUCAUAGAAUUUGAGAUAGUAUGCCUCCUUGGGUGAUCCUAAAGACAUGUGAUCAUAAAAUCUGUAAGCCUACAAUAAUUCUUUUAGUAGAAUUUGGCAUAUGCUCUUAAUGAGCUAGAGUAUGUCAUUUGAUCACAUAAUAAGAGGAUUUGUAACUUAAGGAUUGUAAAGGUAGUCUUAAAAUGUUGAUAUCUUUCACCUUGUUAGAAUAUGGAUGGCUAGUUCAUAGGGAGACUAUAUAUAGUGGAUAGUAAGUCACGAACCUGAGCACUUGAUGUCUCAAUGUAAUAUACAUAGGGUACGAGAGUGUAGUUGACUCUUUAUAGUGGGAUGUUGAGUCAACUUUAGAAUUGGAUCAUGAGGGAGCUAGUAUGUCAUAUGGGUCCAAAUGGUCUUCGUUUGAGCUCAUGUUCCUUGAUGACAUGGUUUAUAAGGGUUGGAUGGGUUUUUAGUUCACUUAUGUGCAUAAGAGUGUUUUGGUAACUAAGUAAGGUUGCACAAGGGAUAAGUAAACGAUAUCGUUGGAAGGCUAAUUGAUUAAUUGGAACCCUAUUAGGUUUAUUAAUCAAUUAGCAACCUUUUUUGCCUAGAUUAAGUGAACCAAGCUCGUGGUGGACUCAAGUCACUCAUGCCCAGUAGGAAGCCUAUAAAUACCCUUUUAAGGAUUAGGGUUUUUAACUUUUGUCAUUCUCUUCCUCCAGUCCAGAGAGAGAACCUUAACCUUCAACCUUGAAAUCUCCACCAUCUCGAUGCCUAAACUUAAUGAGGAGUCAUAGGGUAGAAUAUCAUGGCAUUUAUGAGAUUUGUUACAAUUUCAGAGCUUUAUACAUUGAUAAGAAUCAAUUCGAGAAGAUUCAGGUCAUAGGUAUGACAUUUUCUCUUGAUCUAUGGUAUCUAUAUUGGUUUUUGAGACUAAGUUUUCUGCUUUGUUUAGAUCUGGAGAAGCCUAGGAUAGAUAUUCAUGCACCCUAACGAUCCAAGGCAUUAGAACAAAAUAAUAUGGGGUUUCUUAACAAGAUAAGGCUAGGCUUGUAGCGGAGGGUUAUAGUAAAAAACACGGCUUCGACUAUGAUAAAAUCUUCUCAUCGGUAACCAUGCUCAAGUCCAUCAGGAUAUUCCUAUCCAUUAUGGUACAUCUCGAUUAUGAGAUACAACAAAUAGAUAUCAAGACUCUAUUCUUGAAUAACAGUCUUAAUGAGAGCAUCUAUAUGAUGCAACUAGAUGGUUUCAUAGCAAAGGGUUAAGAAUAUAUGGUAUGGAAGUUGCAUAAAUCCAUUUAUGGAUUAAAGCAAGCAUCCUGCUUAUGGAACUAAUGUUUCGAUUGGCAAUUAAAACCUUUAACUUUGAUCAAAACAAGGGUAGACUUUAUGUGUACAAGAAGGUGUAGGGAAACAUGGUGGCCUUUAUGAUCUUGAAUGUUGAUGACAUUGUACUCCUUAGUUAUGAUGUAUAACUAUUAUCAUCAAUCAAGAUCUAGUUAUCUACUCAAUUCCACAUGAAGGUAUUAGGAUAAUCAUAGUAUAUUCUUAGGAUUAAGGCCUUAUAAGAUUGCAAAAAUAGGGAAUUGAUAUUGUCUCAAGCCACUUAUAGUGAUAAGAUCUUGGUCAAGUAUACGGUACAAGAUUCAAAGAAGGGUUUCUUACCCUUCAAGUGUGAAAUUCCUCUUUUCCAAGAUCAGUGUCCUAAUACACCUAAAAAGAAAAAACACAUGCAAACAAUACUUUAUGCAUUAAUAGUGGGUAACCUUAUGUAUGCAAUGUUGCAUAUUAGACUAAACAUUUAUUUUGUAGUAGGUAUGGUGAGUAGAUAUAGUCAGAUCUAGGUUCAAAACAUUGGACAACUAUCAAGUAUAUACUCAAGUAUCUUAGGAGAAUAAAGAAUUAUAUGCUUAUGUGUGAUGAGUUAGUACCCAAAGGGUACAUGAAUUCAAUCUUAUAGUUUGAUAAGGAUUCUCAUUAGUCUACCUUUAGUUUUGUAUUUACCUUUGAUGGUGUGGUUAUUAGUUGGAGGAGUGCGAAACAAUCUUGCAUUGAUGACUCCACUAUAGAAGUUGAGUAUGUUGUAGUUUCUAAAGCAACAAAGGAAGCCAUUUAGCUUCGGAAGUUCCUCAUGGGAGUUGGGAUAGUAUCCUUGAUUGUAAAACCAUAACACUUCUAUGAAAACAAUGGGGGUGGUGACAUGGUAUAUGUGGUUACCAAAAGGGUAACCACAUUGAGAGAAAGUACUAUUUGUUAUGUUAGAUAGUUUAAAAGAGUAAUAUGAUGGUUGAGAAGAUACCUUUUACGGAGAACCUAAUAUAUCCUUUUACCAAGAAAUUCAUGUGGAGAGGAUUUAAUGAUCAUAGGGAUAACAUGGGUAUCAAAUGUGUACUUAGUUCGUUUUGUUAGCAAUGUUCUUUUAAGGUUAGUAGAAUAUUGUUAAGAUAAAGUUGUUAAAAGCAUGACAUGUUGUAACAAAUUUAGAAUUUAUUAUUCAUUUAGUAAUAUUCCAAUUUUACUUUUAUUUAUCCUUAUUCCAUGCAUUAUGCCUUAUUAGCAUUCUAACCUGACAUCUCUUACAUUGUACAUGACUUGGGUGCAUUACGAGUUAUAUGGAAAAUCCAAGUCAUGGGUUUCUUACAAGUUAAUGAUUUGUUCACAGCCAGUUCAUGGACUUAAGACAAUUCGUUUGAGGUUGUAGUGCAUUACCUCCUAAUUGGAAGGAUGAUUGGUCUUAGUUAUUGAGAUGAGGUCCUCAUAAUGAAUGCACUAGUUUGUAUGGGUUAUAGAUUUUAUAAAACCUAUGGUGAAUCAUGAUGUAAGUCAUCAGGUAAUCAUGACUUCAUUAAGCUAUUAUAAUGUACUGUCUCUCAAUCUAGAGAAAAUACUAGGCUUAUGCCAAAGUUAGCAAUGACUUUAACUCAUGGGUGAAAUUUUAAAGUGUUCACAUAUUCUUUAUGGAUUAGGUAGCUAUUUAUGAAAGCUAGUAGUAAUAGUUAUUCUCAACAUAGGGACACGUGAUAUCUCAUGACACUGUGUACCCUUAGGUGAUCCUAAAAAUAUGAGAUCAUGAAAUCUACAGCCCGAAUAAUUCCCUAAUCAAAAUUUGACAUAUGCUCUUAUGAGUUAUGACAUGUCAUUUGAUCAUAUAAUAGGGAAAUCUAUAACUCAGGGAUAGUAGAAAUAAUCUUGAGAGGUUGAUAAAUUUCACAUUUGUAUAUCAUAGAGAGAUUGUAUACAAUGGAUAGUAGGUCAUGAUUUCAAACACUUUGUCUUUUUUUAAUAUACAUAGGGUAUUGAAUUGUAGCUGACUCUCUAUAAUAGGAUAUUGAGUUAGCUUCAGAAUUGGAUUAUGAAGGAGUUGUAUUAUUCUAUGGGUCUUAGUGGUCCAUGCUCAAGCUCAUAUACCUUGAUGACAUAGUUUAUGAGGGUUGGAUUGGUUCAUGGUUCACUAAUGUGCAUAAAAUUAUUUUUGUAAAUACGGAAAGUUGCAUAGGAAUAAGUGAACAAUAUAUCUGGAUUGAGUUAAUUGAUUAAUUGGAGCGCUAUUGGUUUAAUUAAUCAAGUAGGACCCUUUUUAGGUUAAAUUAAGCUACUUAAGCUACUUAAGCUUAAGGUGAUCUUAAGUUACUUAAGCUCAAUGGGAAGCUUAUAAACACUCCUUUAGGGUUAGGGCUUUAGAUUUGUGUCAUUCUUCUUUACAUUCCAAAGAAAGAAUCUUAGAUUCUACCAUUUAGAUCUCCACCAUUUGAGUGCUUAACUUUAAGGAGGCGCCAUCAGGGGAAAGAUAAGUGGGUUUAGAAAAUUUUUGACAACUAUCGCACAUUUGACAACCUUCUUCCCCACAAGAAUUGCAUUUGAGAACAUCCAAAUCUUGGUAAGCACUUCUAAUCUUUAGAUCUAUAUCCUCUUUUUGUUUUGAAUGCUUCUGCUGCUAAGAUCUAGAUAGCCUUAGGAAGUUUUUGAAUGUACCUAACUAAUCUAGGGCUUGGGAAUAGAGUGAUCCAAAUUCCCUACAAAAAGAAUAAGUGAGAGAUGACCUUAGCAAAGUCCACAACCUCCAUUAUCAAGUCCAUCUUAAUUUGGGUCUAUCACCAUCCCAACAAUGGGUUAGGUUUAAGGAAUUAAGGGUUAUGAACUUUCCAUAUGGACAAGACUACCUAUUAGUAGUUGAAGCAACCACCCCAACAAUGGUGUUUUUCACAUGAUAAAUUUGAUGUCAAGAAUAAUGGUUAUAUAUUUAUCUUGGAUAUGAACUAAUUGAAUCACCCACCAUGGUCCCACCUACAUAGUCCAAACUAAAACAUAAAAGGUAUGUUGAGCUUGCCUUGAGGUUAAAUAAGGCAAGAAGAUCAAUUUGACAAGGUCUCUACCUAGUAAUACGAUCAUGACCUACCCAAUGUAGGCUUCAUUCUAACAAAAGGAUAUAUAGUCUUAAGAACUAUACUAUUUUGCUAAAUUAAUUUAUAUUUUCCUUAUAGUGAAUGCUCAAUAAUCAAUGCAUAGUUUACUUUUUGUUACAAUAAUUAUGUCAUAUAAUCUUAUCAAACUUAUUCUUACUAAUAAUAAAUUAACUGAACCAAACUAUGUGGAUUGGAAAAGAAAUUUGGACAUAGUUCCAAAUACCCCUAAUGAAUAAUUUGCGCAAGAAAAGAGAGAUGCCUAUCAUAGUUGGCAUAAAGCGGAUCAAAAGGCCAAGUGUAUCAAACUCAAAUCUUUGGAUGAUAUGCUCUAAACUCAUUUGCUUUAGGGUUAAUGGAGCUAUCUAUAGUAUGUUUUUAUAUUUUUUAGAGAGAAAACAUUGAAGACUCUUCAAGAUUUGCUUUGUUUAUGCAAUAUAAUAAUCGUUUUUAGUUUCUUUUAAUUCAAGAAUGUUGAUUUUAACUUUCUUGAUGGUUUGUGUGAACAACACCACCUCCUUGAGAGGCUAACACCAUCUUGAGGUGUGAAGUUUGAAAACCUAGGGUUAGAAACCACUAGAGGAACAAUGGGCAAAUGAAAUUAAUAAUGACAUUAAUGUGAAAAUUAGAAACUCUCCAUGUUAGAUCAAUACUAGAAGUUAGAGAUUCUUGGCACAUUUUGAUCUUGAGUUAUCUCAAUUAGUUCUUUCGUUACAUGAUCUUCAAAAAAUCUAUAGGAGUAGUAAGGUUUGAAAGGUUGAAACAUAAACCCUAAAUUAAUUUCAAUUUAUCUAAUACGUAAAUUAGAGUUCGGAUGCAACUUUGAGUUAUAGAACUUAAGUCAAUCUUGCUCUAAAGACUAAAGACUAUAAGAUCCUAAUAAAUGUAAUGCCCUUGUUCACUCUAAAGUUUUACUCCUAAAGUUGGAUUGUGGAAUCCCUGAUCUUGAAUUGAUAGACUACAAUUAAUCCUCUGAGUAUUUUGCAAACUUAUUUAAAUUUUGUUUUAAUAAUUUAUGUACAAGUUGCAAAAACCAAUCGUCUAAAUAUUUUAUUUUUGAGUAUAGGUAACAAGAAAUCAACUUUGACCUAGUUUUGGUAAUUUUUAUAGAUUAGUUCAUGAGGGUGACCCAAAGUACUACAAAAGCCUAGGAUUUCUCUAUUUAGUUUUUCUUCACUAGAGUUGUUAUUUAAAAAGACUUCGUAUUUUAGACAACAAAAAAGAGCACAUACAUACCUAAAGUGUUUGUUGUUGCAACUUGCUUAACACUUGGACCCUUGGACCCGUGUUUAUAGUUGGGAAAGUUUGACCAUACUAGCUGCUCUUGGUCAAAAUGGAAACCCCAAAAUUGAACUUGGGUUUGAGUCGAGAAGCUAUGCUCUAACUCAUAUCAUUAACCAAAAAACCAACAUAGGUUUAAUCCAAAUUUGACUUGGCAACUCAGACCAUGCUAUGGAAUAUAAAUUGUUAGUUAUUGAAAAAAAAUAUAUUCAGGGCUAUUAAUAAUGCACCAAAUUUUGAAAGGACCAUGAGCUUACUACAUAAAAUUUUGUUUGAAAUACAAAAAUUUCUUUUCUAGGACUCCUCCAAACUGGCCCAUUUUCAGUGAUUGCUAGCAUGAUGACACUGUUCAAGAUUUUUGGAUGUACUUUUUGAAGUUAUAGAUAUUAAUUAAACUCAGAUUAAAUGACUUUGUCAAUGGCAUUGCUAGGAAUUUUAGUCAGGGAAAUUAAAAAAACUUGAGAAUGAGCAGCUAGUUGCAGUUUUUAUAGUGCAUAACACUUAUUAUCUUACAAAUUUUUCUUAGGAGUCAGCUUAUUGAAUUCCUAAUCUAUCUCGAGAAGUUCUUUGGCUGAAACUAAGGUUGGUGUGCUAAAUAUAUCUGGAGCUGAGUGGAUUUUAUUUUUGAGUUAUUAAAAUGCAGUGAUAUAUACUCUCCAAACCAUCCCUUUGUGACUGAUCAACUUUUUUGCAGACCCACUUUCUUCUUUAAUAAAGAGAUGCCCUUGCUUGUCGGAUCCAACUCCCUUUUUUGACACAUAUCAGAGACUCAUUAAUAGAACUCUGCAAUUCAGAAGUGCAAUUUACAAUAUAACAGAUAUGAGGAUGCUUCUGCAAGUGCUAGUAUCAGUUCAUCUCAUCACAAUCAUCAUCUCUUUCGUAUUUAUAGCACAGGAAGCAGGGGCAUCUAUGACCAAGCCUGGGUGCCCAGAGAAAUGUGGGAAUAUUACCAUUCCAUAUCCAUUUGGCAUGGGGAAAGGUUGUUACCUGAAUAGAAAUUUUGAGAUCACAUGCAACAUGUCCUCCAAUCCCCCUCGUCCUCUUCUCCUCCAAGAAGUUCAACUUUUGCAGAUAUCAGAAGACUAUCUGCGCAUCAACGAUAUUGUUCACCAUAGCUGUUUUAAUAAGCAAUCAGGGAAGACGAAUUCAUCACAUGUACCAUAUAACAGAACUCAUCAUUUCAGUUACUCACACACCCAGAAUGAGUUCAUAGCCAUCGGGUGUGACAUAUUUGCUUAUAUCACUGAGGACAACAGUAAAACAAACGCAACUGGGUGUGCAUCGCUUUGUAAUACUGAUGAAGACAUCGCUACUGAUUUUUCCUCUUCUGCUUGCUCUGGCAUUGGUUGCUGCAGGACUUAUCUCCAAACAGAUAUUUCACGGUUUUAUCUGAAGAUGCGUAGCAUCAACAUGAUCACACCAAUCUGGACCUCUCAACCAUGUGGCCUUGCUUUCAUUUCUGAGAGGAACUUCUCCAUACGUCAAUAUUUUAACCUCUCUAGUAAAUUUUUAGAGAGGAAUUUGUAUUUUGUUCCAGCAGUACUUGACUGGUCAGUUGGGGACGUCUCUUGCCCUGAGGCUAUCAGAAGAAAAAACUAUGCGUGUGGCCAGAAUACGUACUGCCAUAACUCCAUCCAGGGCCAGGGGUAUAAGUGUCACUGCUCUAAAGGCUACCAAGGGAACCCCUACCUUGCAAACGGCUGCCAAGGUACAGUUUCAUCUCCUUUUCAACAUUUUUUAUAUUUAUUUUUCUUGCCACGAGGGAACAUCGCGAUCCUUCUUUUCUUUUCUUCUGAAUCUUUGCUUCUGUGAUAUAUAAGAAAAUCAGUUGAUAAUUUUUGCUUCAUGGAAAUACUUCUGUGUUCUCUGCAAAGAAGGAAUUAAAAAUUAUCCAUGGCUCUUUGGUUAUGAAUAAAGGACUUAUCCUUUGAUCAGUUUUUUACAUAUCAGACCUAAAAGUCAUAAGGCCAUGGCAACUGUAAUUUAUUAUAAAAUGAUGUGUUCUAAGGAAUUUUAGGACUAAGCAACCCCUCAGGAUAAAUUAAGAGUUAGAAUUUUAGCUUAUGAAUUUCCUAAAUUCUCACUAAUAUAUAUUUUUUUUCUUUUGUGUUCUCAAAAGAUAUUAAUGAGUGCAACGACCCAGACGAAACUUUUUGCCUCAAGAUAGCUCUUUGCACUAAUGUCCCUGGCAGUUACUCGUGCACUUGCCCAACUGAUUACCAUGGAGAUGGCAAGAAAGAUGGAACUGGGUGCAUACGUGGCAAGCAUCCACAUUUGCUAUCAUUGGUACUUUCUCUAGGUAUAAAACUUUACCAUUCUCCAACACCUAGCACUCGAAUCCCCUUCUCUACACUAACUUUUGUGUCUGAUGUAGGUGUGGGGAUUACUGUUGUUCCCUUUAUCCUAAUUGCUACAAGCUUAAGGUUAUACCGAGGACUUGAGAAAAGAGAGAAAAAGAAAAUAAAACAGAAGUUCUUCAAGAAGAAUGGAGGUCUGCUAUUGCAACAGCAAAUUUCUUCUAGCAAGGAAAGUGUAGAAAAAACAAAACUCUAUUCGGUAGAAGAGUUGGAGAAAGCAACAGAUGGUUUCAAUUUAAGUCGAAUCAUUGGUAAGGGAGGCCUCGGCACAGUAUACAAAGGGAUGUUAUCAGAUGGAAGCAUUGUAGCCAUUAAGAAAUCCAAUACGGUUGAUGAGAAGCAGUUAGACCAGUUCAUUAAUGAAGUUUUGAUUCUUUCACAGAUCAACCAUAGGCACAUAGUAAAACUAUUAGGUUGUUGUCUGGAGACUGAAGUACCUUUGCUGGUUUAUGAAUAUGUCUCUAAUGGCCCCCUCUCCCACCAUCUUCAUGAUGAGGGUCAUGUAUAUAGAAUAUCUUGGAAAAAUCGGCUGCGAAUUGCAAGUGAAAUUGCUGGAGCCCUUGCUUAUUUGCACUCGCAUGCUUCUACAGCCAUCUGUCAUAGAGAUAUCAAGUCUAGCAACAUAUUGUUGGAUGAAAACCUCCGGGCUGUACUUUCUGACUUUGGACUCUCAAGGUCAAUACCCCUUGACAAAACUCAUUUAACUGCAUUGGUACAAGGGACAUUUGGUUACUUGGAUCCUGAUUAUUUUCAUUCAGGUCAAUUGACUGAUAAAAGUGAUGUUUAUGCCUUUGGUGUAGUCCUUGCUGAACUUCUGACAGGAGAAAAAGCCAUUUCCUUUGAUAGAUUUGAACAAGGUCUAGCAAGUCAUUUUAGAUCAGCAAUGAAACAAAAUCAUCUGUUUGAUAUUCUUGAUAACCAAGUUGUAAAUGAAGGACAGAAGGAUGAUAUUUUUGCUGUUGCAAAGCUUACUAAGAGAUGCCUAAAGUUGAAUGGGAAAAAAAGGCCAACCAUGAAACAAGUUGAAAUAGACCUCCAACAACUGGGCAGAUUUCAGGAGCAGUU
RNAcentral lists this long non-coding RNA (79768 nucleotides) under Vitis vinifera (wine grape). Its description in RNAcentral is "long non-coding RNA (VVIN_LNC003217)". Lineage: Eukaryota; Viridiplantae; Streptophyta; Magnoliopsida; Vitales; Vitaceae. The record is from RNAcentral.